ACACAUCAAGAAGAGGAAGUAUACCUACUCCAGUGGAGAUAGACGCAGAACCAACGUGAGUGAUAGGAAGGAAGUCACUGUUGCCCACCAUCACUUGAUCAACCCCUUCAUACACGUGAGAAUAAUCGAGAUGUUGAGCUGAACUGGUAACAUGGUGAGAAGCUUCACUGUCUGGAUACCACUCUGCUCCUGAAGCUCUGUGUGAAGCUGGAGUGGUGAGAACGUUAGCUUGAUGUGGAGGGUCGUUGACAGCAAAGUGUUCAUCAAAUAUUCUGUAACACUUGUACGUAGGAUGCCCAUACUUGCCACAGAUCUGACAUGUUGGACGCUGGUUUUCUGAGGGCCGAUUUGGCUGAUGACCAAACUGUUGUGGAAACCCUCUUCCUUGCGUAGUGUAAGAGACAGGCCACAAUAUCCUCCACGGUACUUUCCUCUACCACGUCCAGAGUAUCCACCACGGUUGGUAUAAUAGGCUUGAUGAGGAGUGACUUCUUGAACUUGUUCAUAAGCCUUUAACUUAUCUUCAAAGCUGGUGAGUUUAUGAACUACAUCUUCAAAACACAGACCGGGGUACUGAUCCAUGGAAUGCUCUAUCACAGUACUGACUGCUUCAUACUCCUUUCCAAGGCCAUUGAGAACGCCAUAGAUCUUUUCAUGUUCUGUGAUUGGGGCUCCAAUAGAGUCGAGCUGGUCACAAAGCGACUUGAUUUCCGAAAGAUAUACUCCCAUAGUCUUGCUUCCUUUCACCGUUGUCUGAACUCUUCUUUGGAGAUCUAGUUUUCUUGUUGCAGACACACGGUUAUACUUCUUUGCUAAAGCUAGCCAGACAUCUUGAGAAGUGUGAAGACCGUACACUGAUUUGAGGGCAUCUUCAAAUAAGGUUCCGUACAUCCAAGAGAGGAAGAGUUGGUCUUUCUGAACCCAUUUGUUGAACUCCGGGUUCACAGCUUCUGUUUCUUCUUCACCAUUAUGAACUGUGAUUGUUGGAGCAGGACGAGGCUGAGCACCGGUGACAUAUCCGAGAAUCGAUUGACUAGAGAGAAACUUCUCAAACUGAAGUUUCCAGAUGAGAUAGUUCCCUUCCUUGAGCUUCAAAGUGACAGCUUGUGUUAUCGUGAGAGCAGAAACAUCGAGCGGAUCUUGAUUGACAUCCAUCGUCUGAGCUCUGAUACCAUAUAGGUAAGCAUAGAACUUGAGAGAAAGUUGUUUAUUUUGCUGAAUAUUACUGAAGUUUAUUCAUGUGAAAACUUAGCUUACAACUCUAGGUUUAGCUUGAUACUUAUACAAAGGGAACAAAGCAAUCUAGUGACUUCACAGCUGGCUUGACAGCUUACUCAUCUUCACCCAGGAGAGCAUCAAAACGGUUACGCAAGAUGAGAUGAUCAGCUGUAUAAACCAUACUGUUUUGAUCCUUUUUUAUGUUCUGGUCUUUGAUGACUAUUGGUGUUGAUGUUGACUGGUUGGCUUGAUGAAAGAAGGGCCGUCUUGUUGAUUUCUGAUCCAGUAAUGUUAAUAUUAUGGAAUCCAGAUGUUUUUUUGUUAAAAAAGAAAAGAAGAGAAAUCCAGACGUUAAAGUCUCCGUAGCUUACAAGCAUAUAUGGUAUAUAAAUAACAUAUUUGAUAUAAAAACUUUUGUUUUUUUUAUCCCUUAUUCAAGCGUUUUGAGCAGACAAGGUGUUAAAGUCAUCCCUAGCCUUACGCAAGCGUGGGGGGGUAUCAGAUCGCGGCGACGUAGCACGUAGGGCAUGAAACCGACGGUGAAGAAAAAGUUUAAAAUCUCACACGGCUUAGCAAUGAUCACUUUGCGACGACCGUGAGCUCCUCGUCUUUAAAACGCUUGUCACAGCCAUAAUCUCUGUUUCUCUAUCGAACGAGAAACUAGAAGUCGCCGGUUCUUGCAUAUAUCUUCCUCCUUUUCCGCCUCCACGGCUGCAGCACUUCAACAACUCCACCGGUAAAUCAAAAUACGACCGACCAUUAUCUUGCGUCAGAGACGUAGUCGAUGUCCAAGAAUGGGACCAUUCGUAUUUCUCGACCGAGGUAAAGGAAGACGCUGUGAUCAUCUUCUUCUUUUCCAUCGAGUCUUUGCGUUUUGAAGAUCUAACUGGCUUGUGUUUCCCGAGUCCAGGUAGAGACAAGCAGAAGGCGUUACACUUGAAAUCUUCUUCCUUGUAAAAGAUUUUCUUCGAGUAGAGAGAUUUUGUCAUAAAAAGAAAGGAUUCUUGGUGGCUAAGUUUCUUCCGAGUUCUCGUCGGCUCAGGGAACAUAGGAAGCGGAAAGGUUGAGUCCCUAGGCGGAGGCAUGGCCGGUGGCAACACCAUUCUGAAGCUAUCCUCUUUUGCCGAAGAACGGGAGGAAAUAGAACCGGUUGAUUUCUCACUCUCCACGGUUGCCUUCUUUACCAAGAAAUUGAAACUAUGGUUAGGGUUAGGGCUAGAGUUUACUUCGGGGAAAACCGUGAAACCCUUCCACUCGUUAUCUAAACCAUCAUCAUAUGCAGGCAUUGCCGGAUUGCCGGAGGAGGAAUGAAAACUAAAAGGUAAGAUUUUGAUUUCAGGGUUUUGCAAAUUUCCGGGUAAAAAAUAUGCAGAUGAGACGGGAACCGUAACGGAUAAUUCCCGAACUAGAAACCCUUCUUGAGGAUUCGAAGAAUGGGGAUACACAAGCGUAGAAGAAGAUCGUUAAGGUAGAGAGAUCUUCUUAGAUGAAUGUGUUCGUAAGCGUAGCUUUGUAAGAGCUUUGCAAGAUAACUUGAGAGAUAAGGAAGUUAGGGAAAAAUAGUUUAUUGAUUGAGUUCUCUUAGCUAUCGUAAGAGUUACAUAUAUAGUAAAACCAAAAUAUAGAUAAGGCUAGAACUAAUCCUUAUCCUAAUAGAAAUCAUAAAUAAGAACUUGAUAAUGAUAAAACAUAACGAUAAAGCCGUUAAAACCGUUAGUGACGUGUCCUGUCACAAUACUCCCUCCUUCAGAACAGACUUGGCCUCAAGGCUGAAACUCAGGAUAUUGCGCAAUGAAGUCUUGGUAGAACUCCCAAGUCGCCUGUUGAGGAGUAGAACCUUUCCACUGGACGAGAAUCUUGGUCACUGGUUUAUUUUGCCGAUUGACCAUUUUCUUUUCCAAUAUGAGUUCAGGUUCUCUACUUGAACCAAUGUCGUUGAGGUAUUGUGGCAGAGGAGGCAUUGAAGUUGAAGCUGGCGGGUUGGGACACAGUUUCAGUUGACUCACAUGGAACGAAGCUUGACUGUUGGAUCAUCACCUACUACGAGUUUCCCUCGACGGCGUAGUUCUCCAUUCACGAACGUGUAUGACGGGUGAAGGGAUUUGUUGUCCUGCAGCUCGGAGAUGAUCUUUUUAAGAGACGGAUCAGUGUCCCACAAAGCUUUCAGUUCCUCAUAAAACCCAUGAUGGGCUUGAGAUAGCGUGAUCUGAAGCAAUUGGGAGCCAGAAACGCGAGAUAACGCGUCUGCUGCGACGUUCUCCUUGCCUUGUUUGUAUUGAAUUUCAAACAUGUAUCCCAUUAAUUUGGACAGCCACAUGUGUUGAAAAGGAGUUGUGAUCUUCUGUUCCAGGAGAAAUUUGAGGCUCCUCUGAUCAGUUCGAAUUAUAAACUUGUUAUGAGCCAAGUAAGCAUUCCAAGUUUGGACCGCGUGAACCACUGCAAGAAGUUCCUUUUCGUAGACUGAAAGGUUUUGAUGUCGUGGUCCCAAUGCUCUACUAAUGUAGCAGAUAGGAUGGUUAUCUUGCAUGAGCACGGCGCCUAUACCCGUCUUGGAUGCGUCCGUUUCUACUAUGAAUGGCUUAGAGAAAUCAGGUAAGGCGAGGACAGGUGCCGUUAUUAAGGCCGUUUUUAAAUCUUGAAACGCUGAGUUUGCUUCUGUACACCACGAGAAUCCAUCUUUCCGGAGUAGUAAGGUGAGUGGUGGUGCGAUUAUACUGUAACCUUGUAUAAAACGUCUGUAGUAGUUAGCAAGACCUAAGAAGCUCCUGAUCUGCUUUUGGUUACUAGGAAUGGGCCAAUUUUCGACUGCUUUUAUCUUAACUGGAUCGGUGCUGACGCCGGCAGAAGAUAUAAAGUGGCCAAGGUAUUCAAUCCUUGUUGCUCCGAAGGUGCACUUGGAUUGCUUGAGGUAGAGCUGGUGGUGUCGAAGUAUUUCGAAAACCAUGUCGAUAUGAAUGAGGUGAUCUUCCCAGGUGUUGCUGUAUAUCAGGAUAUAUUCGAAGAAAACUAGCAGACACUUACGAAGAAUCGGUUCAAACACAUGAUUCAUCAGGCCCUAGAAGGUACACGGGGCGUUAGUAAGUCCGAAAGGCAUGACGAGGUAUUCGUAGUGGCCCGCGUGGGUUUUGAAUGCUGUUUUGUACACGUCUUCAGGAGACAUGCGUAGCUGAUGGAAACCGGCGCGUAAGUCCAGCUUGGAGAAAAAUUUGGCACCUCCCAGUUCGUCUAACAGAUCUUCCAGUAGGGGAAUAUGGUAUUUAUCUUUGAUCGUCUGUUUGUUUAAGCCUCUAUAAUCCACACAUAAACGCCAUGAACCGUCUUUCUUUUUCACAAGGACUACUGGGGAAGCGUAUGGACUGGAGCUGUAUUGAAUGAUUCCUUGAGUUAGCAUCUCACGAAUCAUCUUAUCGAUCGAGUCUUUCUGCAUCGACGAGUAUCGGUAUGGCCGUAGAUUGACAGGGUUAGUUCCUGCUUCGAGUGGGAUUUUGUGAUUGAAACCGUCUCGGAAUGGAGGAAGAGACGAAGGCUCAUCAAAGAUAUCAGAGUAAGAGUCAAGGAUUCGUUGGAGUGAUCCGUUUUCGUCGAGCUGUGGGUUGCUUGCUUCUAUGUGGUAGAAGAUAGUCUCGGGGUUAAGUGGUUGCUGCGGUGAAGUAGUGUCGUUGAUCUCGCGUAAGUGGAGGAGGGCGAGCUGAGGUUGUUGUAGUAAUAACUUGUUUAAGCUGUUUCCUGUGACGACUUUGGGGUUGUUUGGUGUUGCUCCUCGGAAAACAUGUUUUAGACCUUUGAAGUUGAAUUCCAUUCGUAGAUUCAGAAAAUCCCAAAGGAUAGGGCCCAAGUUUGAUAGCCAUUGAACUCCUAGUACCAAAUUACUGCAUCCCAGCGCCAAAGUUCUUGUUUCAGUUGUAAAGUCGUAGCCCUGCAUCUUCCACGUGAACGGGCUGCAUUUGUAUUUGGUUAUCAAGUCACCGCUGGCUGCAACCACUGCCAUUGGUUUGAUUGGUGUUAAAGAACAGCCCAAGCUCUUGGCAAUUUGUAGGUCGAGGAAGUUAUGUGUGCUGCCGGGAUCGAUCAGAAUAUGCAGUUUUCUUUUUCCGUAUUGACCCAUUAGGCGCAUACAGUUGAACGUCGGACAACCGUUUAAUGCGUGUACCGAGAUCGUAGGGACCUUAUCAUCAUCUGCAAUUGUUGUUUCGCGUAUCUGUUCGUCGAAAGCGAUUUCUUCGUCGAAUUCUGUUUGGUCGGCUUCAAGAAGUAAAAGCUCUGAACGUCGAUGUUUCAGUUGAUGGCCAGGUGUGAAAGGUUCCUCGCAAUACAUACACAAACCUUUACGUUUUCGUUCCUGCAUCUCGUCGAAAGAAAACCGUUUCUGAGGUGCAUUAGGUAUUAACGGUUUGUUGUUUUGAUUGUCGCUGGUGUUGGACGAUGUUGGUGUUGUUGUGCUGUAUUGAUUCUUGUUUUGUUGAAAGUUUGAUCUCUGAGACGUGUUGAAGGUUGGCCGUGAUGUCUUUGUCGGAGCAUGGAGUAGGGAUAGCUCAUGGAGUUUCGCGAUUCGUGCUGCCUCUGGUACUGUGGAAGCUUUGAACUGGCGGACAUGAAAGGCUAGAUGCUGAUUCAUGUUUGUGAGGAAGAUACUUAAGGCGUGAGCAGGAGCCAAAGUAAUCCUUGUCAUAGCACAAUCAAACUUUUCCAGAUAGAUGUCGAUGGAGUCGUUUGCUUGUUUUAGACUGACUAAUUCAGAGAGAGGAUCAUCGAAAAGUUCGCUGAAGCGUUCCGAUACAGCAGAGACAUAGUCGGGCCAUAGUGGAAAUAUGUUGUAGCGGUUGGCUAUGUAGGCGUGAUGCCAUUGAAGAGCCUUGCCGGUCAUAUGAAGGGAGGCGAGACGAACCUUCAAUUCUGGUGGAGUACUAUCGAUCGAAAAGAAUUGUUCGCAACGGUAAAUCCAUUCACGAAGUGCUGUUCCAUCAAACAUCGGGAACCCUAUUUUUGUUAACCGUGACGAGAGUGUAUUGGGGAGCUGUGGAGUAGCGUUUUGGUCGGAGUUCAUUGGUGUUGUUUUUGCUGUACUCUGUUCUCCUGUGAAGCGAUCUGGUGGGUCUGGUUUCUGGGAUUUGUCAGCAGCUGUGAGGCCGGAACUUCCCUCUUGUUGUGUUGACUGCGAAUUGCUAUUAAGGAAUUUUUCCAUCAUAGCUUUAAGCUCGGCGAUUUCUCCUCCAAGAUCCUUGCGUAUUUCCUCUGAUUGUUGAGUUUGUGAUAAACGCAAGUCGUCAAGGUUUUUGUUCAUCUCGGCCAGCGCGGUGGUUUGCCUUGUGUCCAUAGUUUGGUCCUAAGGUAUUGAAAUGCUCUGAUACCACUGAGACGGGAACCGUAACGGAUAAUUCCCGAACUAGAAACCCUUCUUGAGGAUUCGAAGAAUGGGGAUACACAAGCGUAGAAGAAGAUCGUUAAGGUAGAGAGAUCUUCUUAGAUGAAUGUGUUCGUAAGCGUAGCUUUGUAAGAGCUUUGCAAGAUAACUUGAGAGAUAAGGAAGUUAGGGAAAAAUAGUUUAUUGAUUGUGUUCUCUUAGCUAUCGUAAGAGUUACAUAUAUAGUAAAACCAAAAUAUAGAUAAGGCUAGAACUAAUCCUUAUCCUAAUAGAAAUCAUAAAUAAGAACUUGAUAAUGAUAAAACAUAACGAUAAAGCCGUUAAAACCGUUAGUGACGUGUCCUGUCACAAUACUCCCUCCUUCAGAACAGACUUGGCCUCAAGGCUGAAACUCAGGAUAUUGCGCAAUGAAGUCUUGGUAGAACUCCCAAGUCGCCUGUUGAGGAGUAGAACCUUUCCACUGGACGAGAAUCUUGGUCACUGGUUUAUUUUGCCGAUUGACCAUUUUCUUUUCCAAUAUGAGUUCAGGUUCUCUACUUGAACCAAUGUCGUUGAGGUAUUGUGGCAGAGGAGGCAUUGAAGUUGAAGCUGGCGGGUUGGGACACAGUUUCAGUUGACUCACAUGGAACACAUUAUGUAUGGAAGUAGUUGGUGGUAGUUCAAGCUUGUAAGCCCGCGAACCAACUCUGUCUUGUACGCGAAACGGACCGUAGUAACGUGGUGAAAGCUUGUGAGGCAAGUUACGACCCUUCAGCGAAUGUUGACGAUAUGGUUGAAGUUUCAAGUACACAUAGUCACCAACAGAGAACUCACGAUCAGAACGAUGAGAAUCAGCGUACUGUUUCAUUCGAUUUUGAGCCCGCAAGAGGUGGAACUUCAUCAUAUCAAUGAGUGCUUCCCUUUUCUGAAGCGUUCGGUCAAUAGCUUGUGAUGAACUUUCUCCAGGCAAGUAAGGUAUGUGUAUUGGCGGAGGCUGACCGUAGACGAUCUCGAACGGUGUACUGUGAAUAGCCGAGUGAUAGGUUGUGUUAUACCACCAUUCCGCGAGAGGAAGCCAAGAGCUCCAAGAACGAGGCGAGUCAGAGACCAUACAUCGUAAGUAUGUUUCCAAAGUCUUGUUUGUAACCUCUGUCUGACCGUCGGAUUGAGGAUGAUAGGCUGUUGAGAAGUUGAGAUCGACACCAUGGACACGGAACAUCUCUCGCCAUACUUCACUUAAGAAGGUGGGAUCCCGGUCGCUAGUAAUGUCUUUGGGCAUUCCAUGGAGGCGGAAGACCUGAUCCAAGUAAACUUUGGCGACAUCCAUAGCAGUGUAUGGGUGUGAUAGAGCCAUAAAGUGGGCGUUUUUACUUAGCCUAUCAAUGACCACGAGGAUGCAAUGUUUGCCGGCAGAUGGGGGCAGACCUUCUAUGAAGUCGAGACUUAUUGACUCCCAAAAUCCUGCAGGGACCGGAAGUGGUUGCAGCAGACCUGGCUUUGCUGCCAAAUCGUAUUUGUUCUUCUGACAGGUUGGGCAAUUUCGAACAUAGUUUUGAGUUUCUAAGCUCAUCUUCGGCCAAAAGAACAGAGUUUUGAUGCGCUGCAGUGUCGAAUCACGACCCGAGUGUCCUCCAAUAGCUGAAUCGUGUAGCCAUUUAUAUAUGUGAAGCUUGACUGUUGGAUCAUCACCUACUAUGAGUUUCCCUCGACGGCGUAGUUCUCCAUUCACGAACGUGUAUGACGGGUGAAGGGAUUUGUUGUCCUGCAGCUCGGAGAUGAUCUUUUUAAGAGACGGAUCAGUGUCCCACAAAGCUUUCAGUUCCUCAUAAAACCCAUGAUGGGCUUGAGAUAGCGUGAUCUGAAGCAAUUGGGAGCCAGAAACGCGAGAUAACGCGUCUGCUGCGACGUUCUCCUUGCCUUGUUUGUAUUGAAUUUCAAACAUGUAUCCCAUUAAUUUGGACAGCCACAUGUGUUGAAAAGGAGUUGUGAUCUUCUGUUCCAGGAGAAAUUUGAGGCUCCUCUGAUCAGUUCGAAUUAUAAACUUGUUAUGAGCCAAGUAAGCAUUCCAAGUUUGGACCACGUGAACCACUGCAAGAAGUUCCUUUUCGUAGACUGAAAGGUUUUGAUGUCGUGGUCCCAAUGCUCUACUAAUGUAGCAGAUAGGAUGGUUAUCUUGCAUGAGCACGGCGCCUAUACCCGUCUUGGAUGCGUCCGUUUCUACUAUGAAUGGCUUAGAGAAAUCAGGUAAGGCGAGGACAGGUGCCGUUAUUAAGGCCGUUUUUAAAUCUUGAAACGCUGAGUUUGCUUCUGUACACCACGAGAAUCCAUCUUUCCGGAGUAGUAAGGUGAGUGGUCGUGCGAUUAUACUGUAACCUUGUAUAAAACGUCUGUAGUAGUUAGCAAGACCUAAGAAGCUCCUGAUCUGCUUUUGGUUACUAGGAAUGGGCCAAUUUUCGACUGCUUUUAUCUUAACUGGAUCGGUGCUGACGCCGGCAGAAGAUAUAAAGUGGCCAAGGUAUUCAAUCCUUGUUGCUCCGAAGGUGCACUUGGAUUGCUUGAGGUAGAGCUGGUGGUGUCGAAGUAUUUCGAAAACCAUGUCGAUAUGAUUGAGGUGAUCUUCCCAGGUGUUGCUGUAUAUCAGGAUAUCGUCGAAGAAAACUAGCAGACACUUACGAAGAAUCGGUUCAAACACAUGAUUCAUCAGGCCCUAGAAGGUACACGGGGCGUUAGUAAGUCCGAAAGGCAUGACGAGGUAUUCGUAGUGGCCCGCGUGGGUUUUGAAUGCUGUUUUGUACACGUCUUCAGGAGACAUGCGUAGCUGAUGGAAACCGGCGCGUAAGUCCAGCUUGGAGAAAAAUUUGGCACCUCCCAGUUCGUCUAACAGAUCUUCCAGUAGGGGAAUAUGGUAUUUAUCUUUGAUCGUCUGUUUGUUUAAGCCUCUAUAAUCCACACAUAAACGCCAUGAACCGUCUUUCUUUUUCACAAGGACUACUGGGGAAGCGUAUGGACUGGAGCUGUAUUGAAUGAUUCCUUGAGUUAGCAUCUCACGAAUCAUCUUAUCGAUCGAGUCUUUCUGCAUCGACGAGUAUCGGUAUGGCCGUAGAUUGACAGGGUUAGUUCCUGCUUCGAGUGGGAUUUUGUGAUUGAAACCGUCUCGGAAUGGAGGAAGAGACGAAGGCUCAUCAAAGAUAUCAGAGUAAGAGUCAAGGAUUCGUUGGAGUGAUCCGUUUUCGUCGAGCUGUGGGUUGCUUGCUUCUAUGUGGUAGAAGAUAGUCUCGGGGUUAAGUGGUUGCUGCGGUGAAGUAGUGUCGUUGAUCUCGCGUAAGUGGAAGAGGGCGAGCUGAGGUUGUUGUAGUAAUAACUUGUUUAAGCUGUUUCCUGUGACGACUUUGGGGUUGUUUGGUGUUGCUCCUCGGAAAACAUGUUUUAGACCUUUGAAGUUGAAUUCCAUUCGUAGAUUCAGAAAAUCCCAAAGGAUAGGGCCCAAGUUUGAUAGCCAUUGAACUCCUAGUACCAAAUUACUGCAUCCCAGCGCCAAAGUUCUUGUUUCAGUUGUAAAGUCGUAGCCCUGCAUCUUCCACGUGAACGGGCUGCAUUUGUAUUUGGUUAUCAAGUCACCGCUGGCUGCAACCACUGCCAUUGGUUUGAUUGGUGUUAAAGAACAGCCCAAGCUCUUGGCAAUUUGUAGGUCGAGGAAGUUAUGUGUGCUGCCGGGAUCGAUCAGAAUAUGCAGUUUUCUUUUUCCGUAUUGACCCAUUAGGCGCAUACAGUUGAACGUCGGACAACCGUUUAAUGCGUGUACCGAGAUCGUAGGGACCUUAUCAUCAUCUGCAAUUGUUGUUUCGCGUAUCUGUUCGUCGAAAGCGAUUUCUUCGUCGAAUUCUGUUUGGUCGGCUUCAAGAAGUAAAAGCUCUGAACGUCGAUGUUUCAGUUGAUGGCCAGGUGUGAAAGGUUCCUCGCAAUACAUACACAAACCUUUACGUUUUCGUUCCUGCAUCUCGUCGAAAGAAAACCGUUUCUGAGGUGCAUUAGGUAUUAACGGUUUGUUGUUUUGAUUGUCGCUGGUGUUGGACGAUGUUGGUGUUGUUGUGCUGUAUUGAUUCUUGUUUUGUUGAAAGUUUGAUCUCUGAGACGUGUUGAAGGUUGGCCGUGAUGUCUUUGUCGGAGCAUGGAGUAGGGAUAGCUCGUGGAGUUUCGCGAUUCGUGCUGCCUCUGGUACUGUGGAAGCUUUGAACUGGCGGACAUGAAAGGCUAGAUGCUGAUUCAUGUUUGUGAGGAAGAUACUUAAGGCGUGAGCAGGAGCCAAAGUAAUCCUUGUCAUAGCACAAUCAAACUUUUCCAGAUAGAUGUCGAUGGAGUCGUUUGCUUGUUUUAGACUGACUAAUUCAGAGAGAGGAUCAUCGAAAAGUUCGCUGAAGCGUUCCGAUACAGCAGAGACAUAGUCGGGCCAUAGUGGAAAUAUGUUGUAGCGGUUGGCUAUGUAGGCGUGAUGCCAUUGAAGAGCCUUGCCGGUCAUAUGAAGGGAGGCGAGACGAACCUUCAAUUCUGGUGGAGUACUAUCGAUCGAAAAGAAUUGUUCGCAACGGUAAAUCCAUUCACGAAGUGCUGUUCCAUCAAACAUCGGGAACCCUAUUUUUGUUAACCGUGACGAGAGUGUAUUGGGGAGCUGUGGAGUAGCGUUUUGGUCGGAGUUCAUUGGUGUUGUUUUUGCUGUACUCUGUUCUCCUGUGAAGCGAUCUGGUGGGUCUGGUUUCUGGGAUUUGUCAGCAGCUGUGAGGCCGGAACUUCCCUCUUGUUGUGUUGACUGCGAAUUGCUAUUAAGGAAUUUUUCCAUCAUAGCUUUAAGCUCGGCGAUUUCUCCUCCAAGAUCCUUGCGUAUUUCCUCUGAUUGUUGAGUUUGUGAUAAACGCAAGUCGUCAAGGUUUUUGUUCAUCUCGGCCAGCGCGGUGGUUUGCCUUGUGUCCAUAGUUUGGUCCUAAGGUAUUGAAAUGCUCUGAUACCACUGAGACGGGAACCGUAACGGAUAAUUCCCGAACUAGAAACCCUUCUUGAGGAUUCGAAGAAUGGGGAUACACAAGCGUAGAAGAAGAUCGUUAAGGUAGAGAGAUCUUCUUAGAUGAAUGUGUUCGUAAGCGUAGCUUUGUAAGAGCUUUGCAAGAUAACUUGAGAGAUAAGGAAGUUAGGGAAAAAUAGUUUAUUGAUUGAGUUCUCUUAGCUAUCGUAAGAGUUACAUAUAUAGUAAAACCAAAAUAUAGAUAAGGCUAGAACUAAUCCUUAUCCUAAUAGAAAUCAUAAAUAAGAACUUGAUAAUGAUAAAACAUAACGAUAAAGCCGUUAAAACCGUUAGUGACGUGUCCUGUCACAGCAGAAGAUAGAGAGAUAUAAGUAGUAGCAGUAAAAACGAAAAAUAAAUAGGUAGUAGGAAAAAAUAUAAAGAAAAUGGGAAGCAUGUUGUCAUGCCCGCGUAGAGGAAAAGUACUGACUUAGACCAUGAUUAUCGGCAAUCCUUAAUGGGGUUUUAAAGUUAAAUGAUUGAUUUAAUUAAAUCAAAAAUAAAUAAAAACCUUUUUACCGAUCUUUAAUGAGAUUUUUUCUUCUCUCUCUCUUUCUUUUCCUUUUUUUUCGUCUUCUCCGACUGCUUUGAUUUCAUUGAUUUCAAAUUGUGUUGAUUCUCUGUCUUGGUGACUCCUUCUCGGGACUUUGUGAUUACUCGAGAUGGAAACAAGGUACAUAGAUUCUUAAUGCAAAUUUUUGGCUUUGUUGACUUCACGUAACUGAUCACAAUCGUGUAUUCACUAGGUACCUGUAUCGGAACUUGAUCGUAAUUGGGGGUUUGUGUGGUUCAUCCUUUUGAGAUUGUGAUUUGAAGUUGAGAUUUUUUUUUGCUGAAGAUUGAUCUUUUAUCUUAUUAUUACUGAUGGGACGAUGAGAAGCAACCAGUUGGGGGUUCGUCUGCUUAGCUAUGAGAUGAAUCGGGGGUACUUUGCUGAUACGAAAGAGUUUAAGGAACAUGGUGGUAAGGUAAUGAUUGAUGGUAGUAGUCACAAUCAAAAGACCUGAGAUUCUGGUUUUCUUUGUUCUUAGCUAUGCAUGAUCAAUGGGGUUUGUGAAGUUUCUUAACUGAUAAUUGAUGUUGUUGCAGAUAACAGCUGCGAAUAAGACUGUGAUUCAUGCUGUGUCAGCUGUGAAAUUUCCGGAAUUGGCUGUGACUCUUUCUAGUGGAAAAGUCUUGAAGUUGCCUGUUACUUCUGGUAGCAGUGAGGUUAACGCAGAGAGUUUGGUUGUUCCUAAGGUAUCAUUGGUGUGUCUGUCUUUUUGAGCAAGUUCCCAGGUACAGAUAAUUCCAUACUGUUUUUUUUAUUUGGUUGCAUACUUCAAUUGGAACCAAGAGAAUGUUUAGUUAGCCUUUGUUAACAGGUGUGUAGUAUUAAUGGAAGUGUUUGUUGUUGAGACUAAGCAGUGGUUUUAAGAUGAAGUGUUUUAUCAGUGUGAUUGUUGAUAAAUAUGACCUUGUAUUAUGGCUUAUCUCAAUCUCUUAUGCUGCUGUGAUGUGGUUAAUGUGUCUGACAGGAAAUGAUCAGUUCCUGGAGCAAGCCAUUUCUUGAGUCCCAGUUCCUCAUUCUGAGACAGUUGACAAGUGCACAUGUAACAUUAUAUCUAUGUCCAUAUUACCGUUAGGAUGAAUUAUUAUUUUGAUGAGGGCAUUUUGAUUAAUAGGUUGAACAGGGAGAUGAGAAGUUGUCUGUCCAACGUGCAAUGCUGAUGGAGAGCCGGUGUUUUACAAGGAAAAUCAGAUGAUGAAGUGUUCUGCUUGUUAUGGAAGAGGUUUGAAUGCUCUUAAAGAUGGAUCCGAUUCAAUGUAAAGUCGCAUUCCACCUGGAGAAGAACAAGAUACUUGACUACUUUCAAGUCCAUGACAUGGUUCGCCAAACCCCAGGUCUUGCUCCUUGUGAUACUUGAAGUUCGAUUCUUGUUUUAGUUUAAGAGUUUGUGAUCAUCUACUAGUAGAAUUUAGUGACUAUUUAAUAAAAAAAAAUUAAUUUUUUUUUAAAAAAACCCAAAUUAAGAAACUUUCAUUGUAGCACAAAAAUUAGGUGAUUCUUAACUAAGGUCCUUAGCUAAAAUUUAUUAGAGCAUGAUUAACGCUAGGAGGGAGCCUGGGUUCUUAGGUUUUUGUCCGAUUAAAAAAAAAAAAACUAAUCAAUCGCGGGCCACCACGUGUCAGUGGAGUUCGCGAACAGUACAAAAACUCUAUGAAACUCGCAUCUUGCAGAAGAAGAGGAAGAGUUGAGUUUUAAGAAAAAUAUGGAGUCCACCUCUUAAGAGCCCACUUGAGAGGUGGAGAUAAAUGUGCUCUUAAAUGUUUGUCGGUUCUAUUAUGUCCUAACAUUUACUAUCAUGAUUCAUGUGUGUAUAUGGAUGCAAGGAUCUUAACAUAAAAUGAGAAUUGAAGUUUCGACUUUCCAAUUUAGGAAUGUUUGAUGGAGACAGUCAGAUAGAAGAAAUGGUUUGCCCUUCGUUGUGAUCUGAUCCUUUGAAGUAAAUACUCACAUUUGUCAUUUACACAUGUUUCAACUUCUUGGUAAUAAUAUUAGAUAAUCUGAGUUAUAAGUACACGCCCCUUUGUGAAUUGACCGCUGAAAAGAGUUUGUCAACUUGCUAAUUAUCAAAAAGGCAAAGACACAUUCGAAGUAAAUACUCACAUUUACUAUCUUUUACACGCUAGGUGAUUUUCACGUGGUAUAGAUAUUUCUAAAAUAAAUAUACUAUAAUAAUUGAUUACAAUUUAUUUUUAAUUUUAAAUUAAUUUAUAAUAUGUAUGCAUCAUUUAUAUUAAUAAUAUUAUAUUAUUUUAAUUAUACAUAUGAUUUUAUAUAUGUUAUAUCUAAUCGGUUUUGUUGUUUUUACAGUCGAUUAGCUAUCAUUGGGUAAAUUGGAUUGCAUAUCUGAAUUCAACUGUAAUAUUUUUAUUCUAUAUAUCAAAAUUUUGAUUAAUUUUUUAUUUGCAUUUAGGUAGUUGUUGUCUUAGAUAUGUAAAUAUAUUUUAUGAAGAUUAUGUAUAACUUAAGAUAUAUUGUGCUUGUAAUGAAAUAAAAAAAUAAACUGAAGUGUCUGAUUCCAAAUUACAUAAAUUAAUAUAACGAUAAUAUUAUGAAUAUUUUACAAAAGAACUAAAUUGUAUCAGUUGGUUAAAUAUAUGAAUUUUACAAAAUAACUAAAUUGUAACAGUUGAUUAAAAAUAAACUAAAGUGUAGUAUGAUUUAUAUUUAUAAAAUAAAUUACUAUUCUUAUAAAAUUAUAUAUUCUUAUCCUAGUUAAAUAUAUGAUUUUAGAUAUAAGUUGGAUUAGUUGAGUCACUCAUGUAGUGAAUAUAUCGAGUUACAUAUAUUUUUUCAAAUUCAAAAUGAAGUAUAAUUAUUUUUAUUAUAAUUAAGUCAAAUCAAAUCAAUUUUAUUUAUCAUUUAAAUGUGCAUGUAUUUUCAUAUCAUUUAUCAAAUUAUAUAUUGAUGUUUUUAAAAAAUAUCAGAAUAUAAAGUGAUGAUCAACAAUUACAUGCAUAAGUAGUUGAUACAUUUUUGGAAGAUCAUGAAAACAUAUUAAUAUUUACAAUAAUUAAAAUAUUUUAUAAAUUAUAAAUAACUUUAUGCAUUUGAUUUAUGAAAUGGAGGUCAACUUGCUAAUUAUCAAAAAGGCAAAGACACAUUCGAAGUAAAUACUCACAUUUACUAUCUUUUACACGCUAGGUGAUUUUCACGUGGUAUAGAUAUUUCUAAAAUAAAUAUACUAUAAUAAUUGAUUACAAUUUAUUUUUAAUUUUAAAUUAAUUUAUAAUAUGUAUGCAUCAUUUAUAUUAAUAAUAUUAUAUUAUUUUAAUUAUACAUAUGAUUUUAUAUAUGUUAUAUCUAAUCGGUUUUGUUGUUUUUACAGUCGAUUAGCUAUCAUUGGGUAAAUUGGAUUGCAUAUCUGAAUUCAACUGUAAUAUUUUUAUUCUAUAUAUCAAAAUUUUGAUUAAUUUUUUAUUUGCAUUUAGGUAGUUGUUGUCUUAGAUAUGUAAAUAUAUUUUAUGAAGAUUAUGUAUAACUUAAGAUAUAUUGUGCUUGUAAUGAAAUAAAAAAAUAAACUGAAGUGUCUGAUUCCAAAUUACAUAAAUUAAUAUAACGAUAAUAUUAUGAAUAUUUUACAAAAGAACUAAAUUGUAUCAGUUGGUUAAAUAUAUGAAUUUUACAAAAUAACUAAAUUGUAACAGUUGAUUAAAAAUAAACUAAAGUGUAGUAUGAUUUAUAUUUAUAAAAUAAAUUACUAUUCUUAUAAAAUUAUAUAUUCUUAUCCUAGUUAAAUAUAUGAUUUUAGAUAUAAGUUGGAUUAGUUGAGUCACUCAUGUAGUGAAUAUAUCGAGUUACAUAUAUUUUUUCAAAUUCAAAAUGAAGUAUAAUUAUUUUUAUUAUAAUUAAGUCAAAUCAAAUCAAUUUUAUUUAUCAUUUAAAUGUGCAUGUAUUUUCAUAUCAUUUAUCAAAUUAUAUAUUGAUGUUUUUAAAAAAUAUCAGAAUAUAAAGUGAUGAUCAACAAUUACAUGCAUAAGUAGUUGAUACAUUUUUGGAAGAUCAUGAAAACAUAUUAAUAUUUACAAUAAUUAAAAUAUUUUAUAAAUUAUAAAUAACUUUAUGCAUUUGAUUUAUGAAAUGGAGACUGAAAUUUAUUUUAAAUAAUCUUAAAAAUGAGAAUUCAGAUUUGAAUUGGUAUUUUGAUUAUGGUUCUAUUAAGUUCCACAAACAUAAAAACAUAAAAUUUAAAAGAAAAUUUAAUAUUAAGAAAAUAUAUAGCGUUAAUUUUAUCAAAUGAUUUUUUUUUAAAUUAGUUUUUUAAAUCUCUUAAUAAUAAACAGUAAACAAAAUUGUGAUUGUAUUUGAAAAUAAUAUUAUAUAGGUAAAGUAUAGUUUAUUGAUAUUUUUUUGAUGUAAUUGAAAGAUAUUAUAAUCAUCUAAAUAUAUGAAAAAUAAAUAAAAAAUUCAAUAUUACUAAUUAUAAACUAUUUUUAGUCAAUUAAACAUAUAUCAAUAUAUGUACAUAAAUUAAUAUAACGAUAAUAUUAUGAAUAUUUUACAAAAGAACUAAAUUGUAUCAGUUGGUUAAAUAUAUGAAUUUUACAAAAUAACUAAAUUGUAACAGUUGAUUAAAAAUAAACUAAAGUGUAGUAUGAUUUAUAUUUAUAAAAUAAAUUACUAUUCUUAUAAAAUUAUAUAUUCUUAUCCUAGUUAAAUAUAUGAUUUUAGAUAUAAGUUGGAUUAGUUGAGUCACUCAUGUAGUGAAUAUAUCGAGUUACAUAUAUUUUUUCAAAUUCAAAAUGAAGUAUAAUUAUUUUUAUUAUAAUUAAGUCAAAUCAAAUCAAUUUUAUUUAUCAUUUAAAUGUGCAUGUAUUUUCAUAUCAUUUAUCAAAUUAUAUAUUGAUGUUUUUAAAAAAUAUCAGAAUAUAAAGUGAUGAUCAACAAUUACAUGCAUAAGUAGUUGAUACAUUUUUGGAAGAUCAUGAAAACAUAUUAAUAUUUACAAUAAUUAAAAUAUUUUAUAAAUUAUAAAUAACUUUAUGCAUUUGAUUUAUGAAAUGGAGACUGAAAUUUAUUUUAAAUAAUCUUAAAAAUGAGAAUUCAGAUUUGAAUUGGUAUUUUGAUUAUGGUUCUAUUAAGUUCCACAAACAUAAAAACAUAAAAUUUAAAAGAAAAUUUAAUAUUAAGAAAAUAUAUAGCGUUAAUUUUAUCAAAUGAUUUUUUUUUAAAUUAGUUUUUUAAAUCUCUUAAUAAUAAACAGUAAACAAAAUUGUGAUUGUAUUUGAAAAUAAUAUUAUAUAGGUAAAGUAUAGUUUAUUGAUAUUUUUUUGAUGUAAUUGAAAGAUAUUAUAAUCAUCUAAAUAUAUGAAAAAUAAAUAAAAAAUUCAAUAUUACUAAUUAUAAACUAUUUUUAGUCAAUUAAACAUAUAUCAAUAUAUGUUACUUAAUUAUCUUAUGUAAUCAUCUAAGAAAAUAGAUAGAUAUAUAAAAAUAUUUCUAUUACUUUUAAUUUUUUUGUAUUGUUUAAAAUUAUUUUUUAAAAGAAAUAAUAUUUCUUUUUCUAAUAUCAAGAUUAUCUGUGUAAAUUAUUUUUCAUGAAAUCACAUUAUAUACAAAUUUAUAUUUUUCAUCUAAGAAAAUAUAGAUACAAGGAAAAUAUGUUUUUACUUCAAAAGUAUAUUUUAUGUUAUUUAAAAAUAUCUUUUAAAUGUAAUAUUACUAUUUUGGUAACUUUCCCUUUUUAUGAAAUCAUAUUAUAUAUACAUAUAUUUUCGUUUUUCAAUUCAUUUUUUUAACUUUAUAAAUUUUUCUUUUUUAUUAUAUGUAUAUGUUUUUGGAAAAUUUUAAAAAGUAAACUAAAUAAAAAAUAAAUAAUAGUAUUUUAAUGUAAAUUAAUUCAUUAAAAAUAUUAGUGUAAUAAACCAUCGUGAGAGUUAAUGUGAAAACGUCUCAUUUCUCAAAUAAUAUUAUAAAGAUGUCUCAGCUUCUUGGUAAUAAUAUUAGAUAAUCUGAAUGUUUCAUUAUUAAACCACUCCACUCAUCAAAGAUAAACCGAAAUCAUGAAUCUAAGAUGAAUCCAAACGCAGAUGCUGGUAAAAACACACACGAACACGAUGCAUCAAACUAGAUUGUUAUUACUUCUUUUUCUUUCUAGGAGAUUAUUACUUUGUUAAUCUAUAUCUAGCUAGCUCUACCCGCUUUGAACAAAUUCUGGCCGCAACCUAAGCUUAGAAAACGAAUUUGAUAUAUCAAAGCUGAAUAUGGUUGGAGUAAUGAAAACCCUUUUUUUUUUUUUUGGUAAAAUGUUAAAUUAUUAUACCAAUUUUUUUAAGUUUUUGACAGUUAUUACAAAGAAACUAGUAGCGGAAUGCAUAAACUAAACUAAACAACAAACGGAAAGUAACAGUAAAAAGAAACCGAAGCAGUGAAGCUAGCCUAGUAACCAGCAAAGCAUGAUGAGACCAAGCGAGCUAGAACAGUCGAAGAAAAAAUAUCCGGUUGCCAAGAGCUACCGAGAGAUAGGCGCCCUCAAACCUAGAAGCUACGGUUCCUACAGCUUCCGAACAUCCAACCUGACACAGGCUAACCCGAAGAAUCCAAGCACGGACCAACCAAGAAACCCGACAGACACCACCUCCGACGGCACGAGAGCAAUCCUCCACGUGACGAUCCCGUCGUUCAGCAUAUUUCCUCUGAUUGUUGAGUUAUUUUUUUUUUUUGGUAAAAUGUUAAAUUUAUUAUACCAAUUUUUGAUUUUUGACAGAAAUUACAUAGAGACUAGUAGCAGAAUUGCAUAAUUUAAACUAAACACAAACAACAUACAAGUAAAUGAACUCAGGUGAGGCGAGAGCUGAAGUCAAAGCAACGAUAGACAACGAGGCAUGCUCAGACCAGGAAGACGCCUUCCCGACGGUUGCCACGAGCCCGAGAGAAAGGCGCCCUCAAACCUUGAAUGCACGGUGCCUACAGCUUUCUAGAAACCCACCAAACACAAACCAAUCCAAAGAAUCACAAGCACGGACUGGCUCACCACUAGACACGAACUACACCCGGUGACACGAGAUUGCGACACCAUCCGACGAUGCCGUCGUACAAGAGGCAGACCUGAAGAUUGCCGCCUCCAAACCCAACCAACUGUGACCGUGUACACCCAUUGAACCGAAAACUCAUAUAGAGAAAGCGGACCACAUAGAGAUUUACUCUCCAGAGACAGACCUGCAAGAGAAAAGGCAGACCGAGGGCCCAACUACCGCACAUACACUAGAACAGAACCGCACCACCAUAGGAAAACAAUACCAAAGCCACAAACUUUAUUGUGGAAAAAGCGGACAGAACGGAGAUCACACUGUCGAGAUUGCUAAACGGAGGCCCAGAAUUAGAACACCACCAGCGAGACGCCGGAGUUGCCUUAACCACGCCGUCACGACGCCCUGCCACUCGCGCUGCCACCACACACGCGCCGCCGUCAUGCACCUGCACCUCCAAAGCGCGUGUCACUAGAGAACAUCAGGAGCAGAAGCCAAAGCCUCAUCACCACAAUGAAACUCUCACGCCUCCACCAGAUCCACAGUAGAUAAAAGCAGAGAUCUUCAGAUCCGCGAAAUCAUCCAACCAAACCACCGGAACCCUAACACCACCGCUGCGCCACCAACCAGAGGAACACAAGGCUCAGACGAGGCUUCACGACAUCACACUUGAGGAAACACCGAAGGCAGAGAAAAUAAGAACCGGUCAGAGAUACCAUCAGAUCCAAAAGCUAAGCGGAGGGGGGGGGGGAGCAGUCACCGUCCUCUAGCAACGCCACCACCCGGAGCUCGCGUCAAGAUCCACCGAAAUCGCCAGAUCUGAGACCGCUUCAAACCUUAAGGAGAACCACCCCACUGCCGAAGAAAGAGACACAAAUGAGGAGACUAGAAACACACGAGCAUGUAACCAGAGCCCGGCGGUCGCGUAGAGACCGGCCCCCGCCGGAAAACGAAGAGCGAAGUUUGAAACCCUAGCGGCGGCGCUUGUGGAGAGAAGAUGGAGUAUAACGUUUUUUUCUUUUUGCUAAGAAGUAUAACGUAAUUCGUUAUCAAUGAAAACCCUUUUUUCAAAAGAAAAACUAGAAUCGAACCCGUGCAUUAGCGCGGUAAUAUUUAAUUUUAUUAGUAAAUUUAAACUGAUACGAAAUAAGUAGUUAAUAUUUUGUUAAACGUUUUGUGUUAUCAAAGAAAUCUACUUAGAGAUGUUACAUUCGUAUAGACGUCAUGAAAAGCAAAAGAGAAAUACAAUGGCAAAAUGAUACAUGUUUGAGAUUCUGAAUAUGAGAAGAUUUUGGCUAUGGUUGAAGAUCUAUAUAUAUUUUUGAUUUUAGGUUUGAAUAUAUACGUCAUCAGUUUCAAAAUGCCAUAUUUAGUGAAAUUUUCUUUGUUGAUUCUGAUAUCAAAAUCACUGUAAAUAUAAAUAAUAAAUUGUGAAGACAUUAUUGGCGUAUGCUUAAAAUUCUAUGAUCUUAGCUUUAUUAAAAUAUUUUUCAUCUAUAUCAGUUUUCAUUAUUGUUUAUUUUCUUAUCAUUUUAUUCAAUUAGUUUGAAUAGGUUAAAACUUAAAUUUUAUAAAUUUUAUUAUUAUUUUCGCUUAAUAUCUUUCUACAACCGAUUUGUUAUAGAUUUUAAUGUUUCAGUUGUUAAUACUAUCUUUUGAUAUAGUCCAAGGUUUAAAAUUAAAAAGAUAAUCUCAUAGUAUUCAAAUUAAUGUACGAUUUAACAAUAAUUUUAGUGUACUACAUAUAAAAGUAAUAAAAAAAGUGUACUAUAAAAAUAUGGAUGAUGCUUCUCACGGUAAUAUUACUUAUGAUUAUGAAACGCAUAACCAAUUAGACUUAGUUUUAUAUAUAUAUAUUGCUAUUUUAAAAGUGGAAUCAGAUUAUUUACCAAUCUUAUUCUAUAACGUGAAUGAUAUAUGAAGAGUUAAAAGAAUAUUUCAUGUGAAUAUCACUAUUCUCAGUUUGUGUUAAUAAAUCUAAUACCCAAUUUAAUGGUUUGUGUUUAUUAUAUGACGUGAAAAUAAGAGACGAUGGAUUGAGAAUCUAUUUGAUGUAGUCUCCAAUUUUCUGCUUGCAAAAUCCCCUAUAUAUUAAUUGAAGAUCAUUUAAAAAGUUGUAACAUUAAGUUUGUACUAAUUAAAAAGAGAUCAUGCUUAAGUGUCACUUAAUUAGGAUGUCAAUUUAGCUUACGUGAUAUCUUAAGAAUCAAUUGAAAAAAAUGUUGGUCCAAAUUCAAUUACUAGAGAACAUUAUAUUAACCCAAAAUAUACGAAGCGUGUAUUAUUUCCUUAAAUAAAAGCUACAAAAUUACCUAAUAUGAGACAAUUAAUGACUAUGAAUAAUAAAGAUUUGAUAACAAUUUUUGCAUAAUUCUUCAUUUUUGUUUAAUUUUAUAUUAUUGAAAAAACAAGCAAUCACAUUAAACACAUAAUAAAAAAUUAGAUUUUUUUCUUUUAUGUUAUAUUUUGAAUUUUUUAAAAUGAUUUUAAAUUACAAAAAUGAGAAAACUUUAUAUGUUAUAUUUAAAAUUUUUUAAAACGACUUUAAAUUAAAAAAUGAGGAAACCUUAUAUGUUAUAUUUUUUCUUAUAUAUUAUAUUUUGAACUUUUUAAAACGAGUUUAAAUUACAAAAAUGUAAGUUUUUCUUAAUCAUACAACUAAAAGCAUUAAAAUGACAUGUAUUAAUUCGAUGAUUGAUCUAAAAUCUUUCAAAACCAUAUGGAAAAUAAAAUUCAAAAUAAUUCAACUGUGGAAACAGUACUGUUCAUUUUUUCAAGAAUGUGUUCGGUGAAAAAAAAUAAGAUUUUGUGUCAUAAUUUGUUUAAUGUCUAAUCCGAUCAACCCGUGAUAUAUUAAUUAUAGUUUAGUUGUACAGUUUUUAAUAAAAAUUGAUCCGGUACAUCGGAAAAAAAUUAUAUAACAACAACAAAAAUAUUUCAUAUGUAUAAAUAAAAAAAUUAAAUAUAUAAAAAAAGUUAUCGAUAAUAUAUACAAAUAAACUCACCCUGCGCAAGACGCAGGUUUUAUCCUAGUUAGAUGUAUUGGUCGAUUUAAAAAAUUAUGCGUAGCAUAAGUUAGUGUGUAGAUAAUGUAAUCAUAUAAUUAUUUAUUUGUAUGAUUAAGAAUACCCACAUGUGGAUCAAAAUCUAAAUUAAUAUGAUUCUAAAUUAAUCUUAAUUGGACCUUUUAAAUUUUAAAUGACUAACAUUUUAUCAAUUGAUAAAAUAGAAUUCAAAAUAAAUAGAGUAGAUAAUGCUUAAACAUGAUAUAUAUUGUAUAACCAAAUUAUUAAAGAUUUUAUAUUUAUUUUUCAUAAUAGUGAAUAGGUCUAAAUUUAAAUGACAACUUAUUUAAGUAAAUAAAAAAUAGGACUUUAAAUUAAUAGAUUAGAUAAAAAAAAUAUGGUUGGAGUUAUCACGUCACAAUUGCUCAAAGUAUCCGUUGAACAUGAAAAACUGGCAAAUCUGUUGAAUAGUUUUGGAAUGGAUUGGUUCUUCAAUGUCAACUCCUAGCGCCGCUGAUUUUGAUGAAUUCUCCGAGAUUUUCCCAGCAAAAUCAUCAAUGUUGUCGGAGUCUUUCAUCUUUAACCGAUAAAACUUAGCCAUUAACGUUUGAAGUCGUGUCUCCUUUACUCUUUCUGCUCCCAUGUGUCUUGAUUUGAUCGCCUCCCACACCUUUUUUGCUGUAUCAAGUUCUCCAACCUGGAGUAUGAAAGCCUUUGGAAUGGAAUGAAACAACAAGGCCAUAGCCAUGUCAUUCUUAUCACCAUCCGUAGACUCUGUUUCAAUUACUUCCCAAACCUUAUGCACUUUCAACGUUAUCUUCAUUCUCAUAACCCAUACAGUGUAGUUGCUCGAGGUGAGCAUCAGACACUGUAUAAAAGAGGGGCCUUCGCCUUCUUUCCUUCCUAUAACUGAAAUCAGUUCUCCCAUAUCUUCUUCUGAAGCUCUGAUACCACUUAUUGUAUCAAACCUUGAUCACACACACAACCAUAUCACGUUAAGAUCACACACACACAAGUUAAUUAGAAUUCAACUCUUAUUGCUUUCAAAAAUAAUCUCAAAACUAAAGCUCACAACUCAUAAGUUAUACCACACAUUGGUAUCUUCUUAUAUAACUCUUUAUUUAUCCUAAAUUCAUUAGGAAUAAGACACUUAGAUAUUUCUUAAUCUUUAUAGAUAAACAUAACACAAUAGGAUUAGAUAACUUGCAUCACAAGCUAUUUCAAGCUUAUCCAACCAGAGAAGGCUGGUCUCUCUUUUCUCUUUUGCUCCAAAAGAUUACACUGGCAAACCCACGGAGGUCUGUUUUAAGACUCUUACUAGAUUUUGACCCGCGCUUUCAAAGCGCGGGUUUAUUUUUGUUUUUUUUUUCAAUUGACAAAUAUUUAGUAAAUGUCACAUUUUCAUAUAUUUGUGUUUUAUUUUAUAAAAGACUUAAAAAUUUUAUCUUUAUUUAUCGUAUUUCAUUUUAAAUGACUAUUUAUGUUAAAAAAAUUAAACUUUAUUUUUUUAAUGACUUAAGUUGGUAUAGCUCUCAUAAAUUAAUUUUAUUAUGGGGUUAAUAUUUUAAUUAAAAAAUUAUAUACUUUUAAUAAAGAUUUAUACGAAGUUUUAUUUGAAUGAGAAAUGGAGGUCUAAUGUGUGUGAUUUGAAAAACUUGUAUAAAGUAGCAAAUACACACAUUGGAUAUUUGAACUUGGAUUUGAGUUUUUUGAUUUGUUAGUUGGACUUCAUGUUCAUUAACUUAAUCUUAUAAACAAAAUAUAUGUUGAUAUUUUUUAUUGAUAAAAUAUAGAAAAUAAAUUCAUUUUAAAGUAUAUUAUUUAGUUUGAACGGGUCAAACAAAAUAAUUUUACUCUUUAAUUUCUUGGUCAAAAUGUGAAAUAAAUUCACAUCAUAAUUGACAAGAAUUAAAGACAUUUUUUUUACAGCAAACAUUCACAAGAGUCAAUUAGCGCACAAUGGAGGUUUCAUUUUUGUGUUGAAAAAUGAAACUUGUGCUUCUCAUUAUUUUCUAUAAAAUGGUUUGCUAGCAUUACAAAAAUAUACGCAUCAACACCAAAAGAAAAGUUACAUUCUCCUACUUUGAAUAGUUAUGUUACACUACAAGAACGUAAACAUUAUUGAAACCGCUAUGACUGCCCCAGCUAUCUUAGGUCCCCCUUAUAUUAUAGCAUUUUUUACAAUGCUAUAAUAUCGGAGACAUACAAUAGCGUUGUUUUUAGCUUGCUAUGGUUAGUCAAACCUUAUGAUAGCUUUUGUUUUGAACGUAAACAUAUGUUCUGUUAUAGUGAUGUAUCAAUGCUAUAUCUAUUAUCGAUUAUGUGCUAUUAGAACUUGUUCAUAGAAAUAUGUUUUGUUGCUAAUUAUAUUUAAAUAAAAAAAUAUUUUAUAUUUCAUUAAUAAACAAAAAUGUACUUACAUCAGUACCACAAACAUGUCUACAUUUUCAUCAAAUCUUACACAAACAUCAUUACAAAAUCAGAACUAAAUAUAAAGGGACUAAAAAACAUGGGAACUAAAUCAAAACCUUGCUCCUAUUUUCUUCUUGGCCUUAGCCUGUAUCUUACAUCGAAAGAGUAGGGGAUGCACCUUAAUAAUCUCCCGAGCUGGUGUUCCAAGAACCUGUAAAAAACAAUCAGAUGGGUUCAGCUGUUUGUGCUUUUGAAUUAAGAAUGGAUCAUAAGUACACUUCAUAGCCUUUAAGUUUAAGACAUGUAUACUUACUUCUUCUUUAUAACAUACAAGUUAAGGAAUAUAAGAACAUUUUAGAAAUGUCUCACCUUAAGGUUUUCUGCAGUUAGAGCUUUGUCGUCUACGGUGGUAUAAGGCGAUAUAGGUAUUAUACCGACUACCACUGCUGAGAUCAUGCCACAAUACAUAAAACUUCGUUGGUGUGCACAUUUGUCUGAAAAUUCGGCCAUCUUGCCGAGGAACUGUCAAGAACUGGCAAGUGUGCUUCUCGCGAGAGCUUCUCAGCUUCAUUUAGUACCAACACUGACAGAAUCAGAAAGAAACAAACGCACAGCAUUACCUUGAGGACUGAAGAACAACAGUAUCAGUACACGAAUAUGAGUUAAUGAAAAGAGUGGAAUGUUAACAUUACCUCGAGAAAAGUCUUACUAGAGAAUCACUUCACUAUCUUGAAGUCAGAUUCAUUACACAGCACAUAGACGUUUCAAGUCAGAUUCAUUACACAUCGUAGAGAAUCUUCAAGUCAUAAUUUUUAAGGGAAAACAACAACAAAAAAUAAAUCAGAACAUGUAGUUUAAAACCAAAUCUGCUUUAUGAGACAUGCAUAGAAAAAUCGAAAAGAGUAUAAGCAAGUGAAGAGAAGUGAUUCGUACCUUGAGAAUCUGCGACUCUCAUGCUUCUGCCACUCCCAGGAGAGUUCUAGUCUUGAAUCUAAAGAGAAACCAGAGGUGAAUACUGAUAAAAUAUAACUUGUAUUAAAUAAUUGGAGAAAACAGUAACAACAACCCAAAAAGCUCUCAGUUAGUAAGACACGAGAGAUAUGGAGAGAAACAAAUUAAUAGGCAGCAAUGGAGAUUCCUCCCAGAUUCACCACAUUUUGAGAGUAUCUCCAUCCAAAGUUCAGACCUUUAUGUUCAACUCUAGUUGUUAACCGUAAAAGACAGUGAAUAGAGUGUAAGCAAGUGAUGAGAAGUGAUUCCUACCUUUAGGAUCUGCAACUAUCAUUCUUCUUUUUCCUAUUUCAAGGAUCUGCAACAAAGCAAACACAUCAAUAGCAAUCGGAAAGACACCAAAAUACGAAAGAGAAUCAGGUAUCACCUCAGCUUCUUUUUUCCGUCGCGUCUUCUUCCUCGGCCAUCUCCAACACCACUCCGCUUCUUCUUCCGUCAGUCUCCAAAUCCCAAUCAGAAACAAUACCAUCUUUGAUAGGUGACAAGAUCUGGUGAGUCAGAAAAAAUAACUUGCAGUUAACUAAUAACUUCACACAUUUAAUAUUAAAUCAAAAGAGGAAAAAGAUAAUAACCUCCAUAUGAUCCUUGCGGUAAUUCAAGGCUUGAGAUCCCACAUAGAGAUUACGUUUACCCUUCUCCUUUUCAGACUUUGAAUCCUUGGAAUUUGAAUUUGUCUUUGAAGAAUCAACAUCGACAUCCAUAUCCAUUGCCACUACUCCAUCUACUGCCCAAACAACCUUAUGAACACAUGAGAAGAACCCUAAGUUAGUAACUAAUAUGUCUGAAGAAACAAGGGACUAAAACGCAAAUAUAUACAAACACCAAGCUCUGGCGAAAAAAGGAUUGAGCUUUACGGAAGGGAAAACACGGCCUUUGGGAGCAUCUUUGCCGGUGUAGCCAGCCUUGCAAGUGUACGAAUCCAAGGCAAACACUAUAGCUGACACUUCAUCUGUGGAACAAACCCACCAUGGAAAGAUUCAGACUUUAUAACAAGAAUAUCAUCAGGGAGAGGAAAAAGAAGAAAUUCAAGGGUUAGAAGAGAAACCCACCUCCGCCGAACAUGUCUGUUGGAGAGCUAAUCAGAGGGUUUUAACACGGGACAGGGCUCUCUGUAAAUUCGGGGUCAACACAAAACGAAAAUUAGGGUUUGGUACAAACAUCGUCCACCAAAAACACAGAUCUAAAAUAGAAAUUGACUUUUGAGGAAGGAGGGAGGUGAAACAGAGAGAAGAGACAGACUCUGAGAGAGAGAGAGAGAUCGAGAGAAGUUACGGGGAUUAGGGUUUGUUCUCCAGAGAGAGAGAGAGCUCUCCGUCAUUCUAUUUUUUUUUGUUUACUUUCUAUGUGGAGACUAUUUUUUUUACCAUUAAAUAGCUUAAGUGUUACAUUCAAGAGGGAAACAAUUUAGUAUUCGGCGGUUUUCAAAAUUUUCACUAAGUAUAGGUGGUAUGCGUGCUUUUUUAUUCUCACUUGUUAAUUUUUCACUACAGCAUUAAUUUACUGCUAUGAAUAUGUUCCGAAAUCGAAAAAUUUAUCUAUCAUAGCAGUUUGAAAAUCAAUGCUAUCCUACGGUGCUAUCAAUUCCGUUUUUUCUUGUAGUGAAAUUAAUACCUUUUUUAAAUUUUGUGUUUGUGAUUACAACACAAAGUUAGGUUUGACAGAUUCUGUUUUUCAGUGAUGGUAAAUAAAACCAUAUGCAGUUGUAUCAUGUGAAUCUUAACGCUAUGAAACCAUCACACUACGGGCGUUUAAAGAUUUAAGGAAAGAGAUUAACCCUCUUGACUCUGCAAUUCUUCUUUAUUCGUUUACUAUGGGUUGUCUGUGCUUCGUGCAGAAUAUUUUUUUAUUGUUCUUAAAUAUGAUUUUUUGAUGAUAUGAUUAUGUGGUCAGUAUUUAUUUGUGAAGAUCAUUAUUUGAUGUUUUAUUAUGUUAUGUACUAGUAGGUGAUAAGUUAAUAUAUUAUGUGUUUGUCCUUUUAAAAAUGUAUUGUUGUAUGUAUAAUACUACUUGUUAGUGAUGAAGUGAGUUUCUGAUGUAAAACAUAUUGAAUUUUAAUAAGUUUGUAUUUAGGCAUUUUUUUUUUUUUCAAUUGACAAAUAUUUAGUAAAUGUCACAUUUUCAUAUAUUUGUGUUUUAUUUUAUAAAAGACUUAAAAAUUUUAUCUUUAUUUAUCGUAUUUCAUUUUAAAUGACUAUUUAUGUUAAAAAAAUUAAACUUUAUUUUUUUAAUGAAUUAAGUUGGUAUAACUCUGAUAAAUUAAUUUUAUUAUGGGGUUAAUAUUUUAAUUAAAAAAUUAUAUACUUUUAAUAAAGAUUUAUACUUUUCAAUAAAAAAAUUCAAUUAUUUUUAUGAAUGCUUAAAUUAUAUUAAGAAAAGAAAAAAAUAAUAAUUAAGAAUAGUUGAAAAAAAAUUAUUUGAACUUGGACUCAAUGGUCCAAAGGAAAAAAAAAAGGUGAGAAUUGAAUCUGAUUUUUUAAUAGGCCCAAAUGGCCCAAGAGAGAUUUGAUUUGGGCUGGAUCCAAAAAUAAUGACUCAAUAUAGAUUUGUUAUUAAUAUUAUUUAAUUGCCCUUAAUGAAACAUGCAAUGUUAGUGAAGGAAACAUGCCCCUAAGGUAAUUAUGACAAUAGGAUCCUGCUUUAAUAGUAUAGAUACUAUUUAUUCUCUAGUUCAAAUUCAUAUUUGCUGCAAAACUCAAAUUUUGUAUUCAAAUUGCCAGAUUGUAGAAUUUGUUGGAACUAUUUUUUUAACAUUAUGGAUAGUGUAUUUAUAUGUCAAAAAUGAAGUUUUAUUUGAAUGAAAAAUGGAGGUAUGUGUGUGAUUUGAGAAACUUGUAUAAAGUAGCAAAUACACACAUUGGAUAUUUGAACUUGGAUUUGAGUUUUUUGAUUUGUUAGUUGGACUUCAUGUUCAUUAACUUAAUCUUAUAAACAAAAUAUAUGUUGAUAUUUUUUAUUGAUAAAAUAUAGAAAAUAAAUUCAUUUUAAAGUAUAUUAUUUAGUUUGAACGGGUCAAACAAAAUAAUUUUACUCUUUAAUUUCUUGGUCAAAAUGUGAAAUAAAUUCACAUCAUAAUUGACAAGAAUUAAAGACAUUUUUUUUACAGCAAACAUUCACAAGAGUCAAUUAGCGCACAAUGGAGGUUUCAUUUUUGUGUUGAAAAAUGAAACUUGUGCUUCUCAUUAUUUUCUAUAAAAUGGUUUGCUAGCAUUACAAAAAUAUACGCAUCAACACCAAAAGAAAAGUUACAUUCUCCUACUUUGAAUAGUUAUGUUACACUACAAGAACGUAAACAUUAUUGAAACCGCUAUGACUGCCCCAGCUAUCUUAGGUCCCCCUUAUAUUAUAGCAUUUUUUACAAUGCUAUAAUAUCGGAGACAUACAAUAGCGUUGUUUUUAGCUUGCUAUGGUUAGUCAAACCUUAUGAUAGCUUUUGUUUUGAACGUAAACAUAUGUUCUGUUAUAGUGAUGUAUCAAUGCUAUAUCUAUUAUCGAUUAUGUGCUAUUAGAACUUGUUCAUAGAAAUAUGUUUUGUUGCUAAUUAUAUUUAAAUAAAAAAAUAUUUUAUAUUUCAUUAAUAAACAAAAAUGUACUUACAUCAGUACCACAAACAUGUCUACAUUUUCAUCAAAUCUUACACAAACAUCAUUACAAAAUCAGAACUAAAUAUAAAGGGACUAAAAAACAUGGGAACUAAAUCAAAACCUUGCUCCUAUUUUCUUCUUGGCCUUAGCCUGUAUCUUACAUCGAAAGAGUAGGGGAUGCACCUUAAUAAUCUCCCGAGCUGGUGUUCCAAGAACCUGUAAAAAACAAUCAGAUGGGUUCAGCUGUUUGUGCUUUUGAAUUAAGAAUGGAUCAUAAGUACACUUCAUAGCCUUUAAGUUUAAGACAUGUAUACUUACUUCUUCUUUAUAACAUACAAGUUAAGGAAUAUAAGAACAUUUUAGAAAUGUCUCACCUUAAGGUUUUCUGCAGUUAGAGCUUUGUCGUCUACGGUGGUAUAAGGCGAUAUAGGUAUUAUACCGACUACCACUGCUGAGAUCAUGCCACAAUACAUAAAACUUCGUUGGUGUGCACAUUUGUCUGAAAAUUCGGCCAUCUUGCCGAGGAACUGUCAAGAACUGGCAAGUGUGCUUCUCGCGAGAGCUUCUCAGCUUCAUUUAGUACCAACACUGACAGAAUCAGAAAGAAACAAACGCACAGCAUUACCUUGAGGACUGAAGAACAACAGUAUCAGUACACGAAUAUGAGUUAAUGAAAAGAGUGGAAUGUUAACAUUACCUCGAGAAAAGUCUUACUAGAGAAUCACUUCACUAUCUUGAAGUCAGAUUCAUUACACAGCACAUAGACGUUUCAAGUCAGAUUCAUUACACAUCGUAGAGAAUCUUCAAGUCAUAAUUUUUAAGGGAAAACAACAACAAAAAAUAAAUCAGAACAUGUAGUUUAAAACCAAAUCUGCUUUAUGAGACAUGCAUAGAAAAAUCGAAAAGAGUAUAAGCAAGUGAAGAGAAGUGAUUCGUACCUUGAGAAUCUGCGACUCUCAUGCUUCUGCCACUCCCAGGAGAGUUCUAGUCUUGAAUCUAAAGAGAAACCAGAGGUGAAUACUGAUAAAAUAUAACUUGUAUUAAAUAAUUGGAGAAAACAGUAACAACAACCCAAAAAGCUCUCAGUUAGUAAGACACGAGAGAUAUGGAGAGAAACAAAUUAAUAGGCAGCAAUGGAGAUUCCUCCCAGAUUCACCACAUUUUGAGAGUAUCUCCAUCCAAAGUUCAGACCUUUAUGUUCAACUCUAGUUGUUAACCGUAAAAGACAGUGAAUAGAGUGUAAGCAAGUGAUGAGAAGUGAUUCCUACCUUUAGGAUCUGCAACUAUCAUUCUUCUUUUUCCUAUUUCAAGGAUCUGCAACAAAGCAAACACAUCAAUAGCAAUCGGAAAGACACCAAAAUACGAAAGAGAAUCAGGUAUCACCUCAGCUUCUUUUUUCCGUCGCGUCUUCUUCCUCGGCCAUCUCCAACACCACUCCGCUUCUUCUUCCGUCAGUCUCCAAAUCCCAAUCAGAAACAAUACCAUCUUUGAUAGGUGACAAGAUCUGGUGAGUCAGAAAAAAUAACUUGCAGUUAACUAAUAACUUCACACAUUUAAUAUUAAAUCAAAAGAGGAAAAAGAUAAUAACCUCCAUAUGAUCCUUGCGGUAAUUCAAGGCUUGAGAUCCCACAUAGAGAUUACGUUUACCCUUCUCCUUUUCAGACUUUGAAUCCUUGGAAUUUGAAUUUGUCUUUGAAGAAUCAACAUCGACAUCCAUAUCCAUUGCCACUACUCCAUCUACUGCCCAAACAACCUUAUGAACACAUGAGAAGAACCCUAAGUUAGUAACUAAUAUGUCUGAAGAAACAAGGGACUAAAACGCAAAUAUAUACAAACACCAAGCUCUGGCGAAAAAAGGAUUGAGCUUUACGGAAGGGAAAACACGGCCUUUGGGAGCAUCUUUGCCGGUGUAGCCAGCCUUGCAAGUGUACGAAUCCAAGGCAAACACUAUAGCUGACACUUCAUCUGUGGAACAAACCCACCAUGGAAAGAUUCAGACUUUAUAACAAGAAUAUCAUCAGGGAGAGGAAAAAGAAGAAAUUCAAGGGUUAGAAGAGAAACCCACCUCCGCCGAACAUGUCUGUUGGAGAGCUAAUCAGAGGGUUUUAACACGGGACAGGGCUCUCUGUAAAUUCGGGGUCAACACAAAACGAAAAUUAGGGUUUGGUACAAACAUCGUCCACCAAAAACACAGAUCUAAAAUAGAAAUUGACUUUUGAGGAAGGAGGGAGGUGAAACAGAGAGAAGAGACAGACUCUGAGAGAGAGAGAGAGAUCGAGAGAAGUUACGGGGAUUAGGGUUUGUUCUCCAGAGAGAGAGAGAGCUCUCCGUCAUUCUAUUUUUUUUUGUUUACUUUCUAUGUGGAGACUAUUUUUUUUACCAUUAAAUAGCUUAAGUGUUACAUUCAAGAGGGAAACAAUUUAGUAUUCGGCGGUUUUCAAAAUUUUCACUAAGUAUAGGUGGUAUGCGUGCUUUUUUAUUCUCACUUGUUAAUUUUUCACUACAGCAUUAAUUUACUGCUAUGAAUAUGUUCCGAAAUCGAAAAAUUUAUCUAUCAUAGCAGUUUGAAAAUCAAUGCUAUCCUACGGUGCUAUCAAUUCCGUUUUUUCUUGUAGUGAAAUUAAUACCUUUUUUAAAUUUUGUGUUUGUGAUUACAACACAAAGUUAGGUUUGACAGAUUCUGUUUUUCAGUGAUGGUAAAUAAAACCAUAUGCAGUUGUAUCAUGUGAAUCUUAACGCUAUGAAACCAUCACACUACGGGCGUUUAAAGAUUUAAGGAAAGAGAUUAACCCUCUUGACUCUGCAAUUCUUCUUUAUUCGUUUACUAUGGGUUGUCUGUGCUUCGUGCAGAAUAUUUUUUUAUUGUUCUUAAAUAUGAUUUUUUGAUGAUAUGAUUAUGUGGUCAGUAUUUAUUUGUGAAGAUCAUUAUUUGAUGUUUUAUUAUGUUAUGUACUAGUAGGUGAUAAGUUAAUAUAUUAUGUGUUUGUCCUUUUAAAAAUGUAUUGUUGUAUGUAUAAUACUACUUGUUAGUGAUGAAGUGAGUUUCUGAUGUAAAACAUAUUGAAUUUUAAUAAGUUUGUAUUUAGGCAUUUGUUGAUUUUAAGAUUAACGACGUCAAAAUUGUAUUUUAGUAUUUCACAUUUUUGAACAUUACUCUUUUUCCCUGUUCUAAAACGCAGACGCCUAGCCGAUUAGGUGCCUGGCUCGGUGCUCGGCGGCAAGCAACCACGACGAAUAGGUCCAAUACGACUCUACUACUCGGUUGACCAACUAAUCGGUCAAUUAACCGGUUUGGAACCGAUUUUUAACCGCCUAAAACACCAAACAAAUUUAAACUACUGGGCUUCUGGUGGACAUGUAAUUGAAAACCAGAUGCAAUUUUUGAAGCCAACCCUGAAUGACUACUUAUAGGCAUCUUCAUCAGCUUCCCUCUUUAUAGUUUACCGAUGUGGGACUCUAUUUCAUGUGUUUCUAAAACUCUUUUUACCUAAAAUUGAAAAAGUACUACCCGAGGUUCAAACCCAGUACCUUAUACAGCAUCAACAUCAUCGAACACCAAUACACCAAGGCGUGUUUUGAUGUUUAGGCAUAUAUUUCCGUAUAUAUAAACAUUGUUUCAACAAAAAAUAAAAAUAUGACACUUACCUUUGCUAAUAAUUAACUUUUGUUAAACAAAAUAAAUAUAAAUUUUGAUAAUAACAUACAAAAAACUAUUACAUUCUACUAUAUUUAUAUAAUAUAUUUAAUUUAAAUAUUAUAAUAAAUAAAAUAAUAAUAAAACUAGUCCUCGCGUAUACCCUGAGUAAUCCCCGAGUUUUUGAUAAUUCGCUAGGCCUGAGACUGCCGCCCGACUAGCGCCUAGCGUAGUUCCGAACAUGGCUCUUUUUAGGUGUUUUUUGCACUCUCCCCCAUCUUUUGACCUUGAGCCAUCACCAUAUAUGUAUUUUGUUUACCUCUCCGGUGUGCAGUGAUUCUCACUAUCACUGGGAAAAGACUCACAUCCGUGCUCUUGUUUUUCCUCACCUUUUUUUAGUGAGAUUAUCUGAUAUUUGUUAUAGAUCAGACAUAUUAGUUUCAUGUUGUGGGGUUUUUUCUUACGGCGUUGUAUGUUAUUUCGGUCAAUAUUGGUCCUCUUUUUCCUUAGGUUUUGGCUAAGGUUAGAAACUACAUCUCGUUGGGUUGGGUCAGAGUUUAGUUGUCAUUGAUGUUGUUUUCUUCGUCGCUGGUUUACCGUCAAUAGUCUCUGCUCGUCUUGGUUUUCAAGCUCGGGUUUUUGGUGAUCUGACUUCUAUGCACUUUUUCAUAGUUCGAGGAUGGCUCCACGGUUUGUUGAUUUCAUUUUGUCUCCUUUUAUCUAAUUGUUCUCUCAUCUCGUUGCACCUUUCAUCGCUGAUCAUGUCUCUUGUGGCUCUCCCUUUCGCCAUAUUUGCUACUCCGUGUUUUGAUAGUGUUUUUCUCUGUGUAUGCUUUGUACGCUUGGAAGGUUGUUUAUGGUCUCAAGCUUAAGCUUUGGUUUCUCGGUGGUUGGCUUCCAUUCUCCCCCACUCAGGUUGUUUAUUUUCUUCUCAUGCAUCUUUUGGUGUAGGUGUGCGGAGUUAGUCUUUUAGAUUUUUGGUUUCUUCUAUUCAGAGUUUUGUGGUUCUUCGCUGGUAUGAGCGCCUUGUAUGUGUUUGUUUAGUUUGUGAGGUGCUUCUUAUCUUUUAGCUGGUAGUUGUGUUUCCGGUGCUUUAGACAUACGGUUUUUUUUUUUGUGGUGACUUUGUUUUUCCAAUGAUUAUUCUUUAUCUGGCCCGCUUUUUUAGUUUUUUUUGCGCUGGUGCUUGAUCUCGAUCAUUUGUGUUCCGAGGAUUACUUUAUCUCAUAUUUUAUCUUUUUACAUUUUUCUUAAAUCUGUUUGUUCUAGUGAAGACAUUCUAUGGUAAGAUGAAAUAUGUUAGUGUUCUUUGUUGAUCUUUUUUCAGCUUCAAAUCUUUAUUGAGGUAGUGUUACUAUGAUAUUUUACUUUUUCUUUCUGACUGUGGAAGGUUUAUGUCUAGAUUAUGUAUUGCACUCUAGUUUCUUCUUAUUAGUUUGGUCAUUUUAUAUUUUUAAUAGUUAAACAAAUAUAUAAUUUGUAAAUUAAAUAAUAGAAAAUGGCAUAAAAUAAUAAAAUAAAAAACUAUGUUAUAUUUAGUUUUGAAUAAAUUAAAUGUGUAAAAUAUAUUUCUAUUAUUUUAUUUAUUUCUUUAUUCAUCUUGAAUUUUAGUGAACAAUAAAAUAGAUUAUCAAACUUCAUACGAUAAUAGUUAGUGCGAAAAUGAUUAGGUAGUUCAUGAUUAGAAUUAGAAAUACUUGGCCAAAUUGCAAUAAUGUAAAAGAAGAAGAACCUAAAAUGUAAAAAAAAAUACAUGGAUGACACGUGUCGGAAAAAUCUCCUGCCACUUGUUAGAAGAAUGGAAAAAACUAACUUUAUAUAUAUUAAACAAAUAUAUAAUUUGUAAAUUAAAUAAUAGAAAAUGGCAUAAAAUAAUAAAAUAAAAAAACCAUGUUAUAUUUAGUUUUGAAUAAAUUAAAUGUGUAAAAUAUAUUUCUAUUAUUUUAUUUAUUUCUUUAUUCAUCUUGAAUUUUAGUGAACAAUAAAAUAGAUUAUCAAACUUCAUACGAUAAUAGUUAGUGCGAAAAUGAUUAGGUAGUUCAUGAUUAGAAUUAGAAAUACUUGGCCAAAUUGCAAUAAUGUAAAAGAAGAAGAACCUAAAAUGUAAAAAAAAAUACAUGGAUGACACGUGUCGCAAAAAUCUCCUGCCACUUGUUAGAAGAAUGGAAAAAACUAACUUUAUAUAUAUAGAUUUUAGUAUUGUAAUUUUAAUUUUUGUUUUUAUUAUUUUUACAAAUAUCAAUUGUCCUUAUUGCAGUAAAAUAUGGUUCAUAUACUCUUAAAUCUUAAAAUAUUAUUUAUGCUUUCGCACUAACAAUACUGAUAUUUGUUAAAGUAUUUUUUUUCUUAAGAGCAGGUUGAUCUAUGUUCGAAACAGGUGCCAGAAUCAAUUUGGAUCUGUUGUUGCGUCAAGUUUUCUUAUCAUCACGCUUACAUUUUUUUUUUUUGCAUGAUCCGUUGAAUUAUAUAAAUUAAUUCGUAUGAUUCUCUGCAAUUUAUUAUAAUUGCAUAUGGCAAUAUCUCUCCGUUUACUAAAGCUUGUUUAGGUUUAUGAGAAUAGUAUGCAAGAUUCUCUCUGCUUAUUGGUUUAGAAUAAGCAAAUUUUGUGAUUUUAUGAAUUGCAUAUGAUUAUUGGCUUCUAGUUUUCUGAAGUUGAUUACUAAUCAGGCGUUUAUGAUGUCGAGAACUUAAACUUUUUGUUUAAUUUACAAGCACAUAAAGAUGAUUAAAUAAAAGCGUUAUUUCUCAUAUGUUAAUGCUUUGACUGUUUGAUAAUAUCAAGAACAAGUAACAAUUUUUGUUUUAUUGUUACAGAUUCUUUGGUGGAAAAUGAAAUAACUUAAUUUAAUUAUGAAGCACAUAUUUGACCAUGAGAGAAAAUUUUCUUUUUAGCUCCAAUGGUAAAAUAUACCAAUGUUUGGUCCUUAUGGGAUCAAGUACUACGGAUGAAAAUUGAUUUUGUGAGUGGACCCCCCAAAUUAAGUUUGGGAAAUAUCUGCCACAUAUAAAUCAUUUACCAUACGAAAUAAAAUGUGUUGAUACUAAUAAAAACAUUUAUAUUUCGUUGUUGCUUAAAUGCAAGUUGUAAAAAGAUUGACCAUGCAAAAACAAUGAGAAUUCUAAAACCAAUAUGACUGGAACUGACAUGUAUAUUGUAGUUUAUAAAAUCAAUAUAGUUGAGAAUAAUCAUAUAAAAUGGUGGUUUUGAUGGUACAAAAAGAAUAUUUUGUAAUGAUAUGUAUAUUUUCUAAAAAAAUAAAAAUAUGUUUUGGAAAAAUAAAAAUCAUAUAUAAGUUGGAUUAAUUAAUCAACUUAAGAGAACUUUGAAAAUAAUUAUAUGAAAAUAUGAAUUUCUAAGAAUGAAACACAUUUUUAAGAAAAUUGUAAUAAUUUUCGAAAUUCCUUUUUUUAUUUAAAUCUAAAGGAGCUGUAGAUUGACUUUCUAAACUCUUAAGAGAUGUUAAAUGCAUAUAUGCAUAUUUUGAGUUAUCUCAAGAAAUGUGGAGGAAGUUUUGCUUACCAUAAAGUUGUUGGCAAAAGCCCAAAUGAACUUAGGGGGAUAUGAACUUAGGGGGAUGUAUUGAAAUGUGGAUUUUAAAAGUUUGGGUGGAUUUGAAAAAAUAUUGGAGUUUGAAGAGAUUUGGGUUAAAUCCCAAAACGAUGGGUGGGAUUUAAAAAAAGGAAAAUAGAUUUGGAUAGGAUUUUUUAAAAAUUUCAGAGUACUUGAGAUCAUUUGAACUUAAAUUUCAGAGUACUUUUCAAAGUCCAAUUAUUUUAAAACAUGAAGUAAUCACUAUUUUUUCCAACAGAGUAAAAACGUGAAAUUUCAAUAUUUUGUCUUCUUCCUUCGUUUGUGAGAACGAGAGAGAGAGAGAGAGCUAUAGAUCAAAGUUUGCAGAUACUCUUCCAUAUCCAACUUUCUGAGGUUGACUCAUCGAGAUCCCAAAAACAAGAAGAUCCAAUGGCAUAUUACAUAAUCAAUUUGUCUUGUACUUCUUCCAAUUCAAUCUCUGCAACAAGUUUGAACAGCAGUCUCUUGACAAUAAUCAAGAAAGCUACAGAACUUACUAAAAGCCAAUAUAAUAGAUCAAAAUUGUUUAUCAAAAAACCAAAUUCAUAAACCACAACAUGAAAGAUAAAUUUAAAAACAUAGUAGCAGAGAUAACAUCUAAAAACAACGUAAACUGUUGCUGCAUCAAGAUCCCAUAUGCAUAGCAUCUGUCCACAUGGUUGCUGCUAUAUUUGCUCUCCAAUUAUUAGCAUUCACUCUUUGUUGUUCUUGAGUGCCAUUUUGAACAUCAUCAUCCAUGUUCUCAUCUUCACCUAUUUCUUGAACAUCACUUUCAUUAUCAUCAGCGACAACAACUUCUUCAGGAAACACGUCUGAACGACAUUCUUUACGAAGAUAAUUAUGUAAAACAACACAUGCAAGAACUAACUCUGCUUGUGUUUUAUAUGGAAAUGGUGGAGCAGAUUUGAAGAUGAGGAAUCUUGACUUAAAGAUGCCAAAAAUUCUCUCAAUCACAUUUCGCAAGGAUGAAUGACGAUGAUUGAACAACUCAUUUUGAUUCACAGGAUCUUUGCCUUGUCCCCUAAAAUCUUGAAGAUGAUAGCGAGUACUUCGAAAUGGAGCCAGAAAAUUACGACGAUUGGCGUAUCCACAGUCGACUAAAUAGAAUUUUCCUGAAAUCAUAUAACAUAUACAAAUAAUUUUAAGAAAAUACAAAAAUAACACAUCAAUAUUUUAAUCAUAAGAACCAGACAUACCUUCUGGAACUUGUAAUCUGUUAGAAUUUCUUGUUAAAGCAUCUUGUAAUACUUUAGCAUCAUGAGCUGAACCUUCCCAUCCACUAAGAACAUAUAUAAAUUCUAAAUCAAAAUUGCAUGCAGCUAAAACAUUUUGUGAUAGUUGUCCUUUUCGAUUGCGGUAGCUAGAUGAAUCCUUUCCACUUAUCAUCGCAAGAAUAUGUGUUCCAUCAAUAGCUCCUACACAAUCCUAAUAAAAUAUAGAAACAUGUAAAUUUUUUUGCGGUAUUUAAAAAAUGCAUAAGAGAAGAACUACAUGUACCUUAAAAUAAGGAUAGAAUCGUGUGCUAUCUCUUAUCUUUGGAGGCACUGUUGUUUCAGGCUUGGCCAUGUAACUUGGAGCAAGUGCGUUUAACACUUUCAGAAUUGUAUGAAAACUCGUACUUAUUGAGAAUCUUGACCUCUUGAAUCUAUCUUGAGCCUGAAUAUACCUUGAGUUUUGACCAACAAUGAACAAAAAGGUGGCUAGCAUUUCUUCAACUGAAACAUAUCUUGUAUCUUUUAAUCCCAUCUUUACUCUUAUAAUAGAGCAUAACUUCAAAAACACAUCCGGAUACAUACGAUAUAGAUGUCGAAAAUGUUUAGGAUCUUCAACCAAAGCAUUUUGUAUGUAUUCAUGUCCAAGUGUUGUAGUUGAUCUUCUAAUUUCACGUUGUAUUUGUGGAAUACGUGAAGCGACAUUACGUACCUUCACAAUGAUAGAAAAGACCAGUAAGAGAAUAUCAACGUCUAUCUUGAAAUUUGACAUCUUUUUUCUCUUUUUCCUAACUUGUAUCUCUUCAUUUGCAUUAACAAUAUGAGCCAUUGAAAUCUCUGCACAAAAACAUAAAUAACAAGUCAUAAGAAACUGUCUAAUUGGUGAACAAAGUGUGAAAUAAUGCUAGAUACUCACGUAAUAUAAAGCGGCGGUGAUGAACUUUAGCUAGAGAAGAAGAGGACAAAUAAAUAAGGUUACACAAAUCAUUAAGGAAUCGUAUCCUAACGAAUUAGCCGCCAAAUUUAGCCGCCAAAAUCAAUGUUUACUUUGAACAGAAUAUACUACUUUCCUAUGUAAAAUAUAAUUAUACCAUUGUAGGAGAAAACAAGAAGAUAGUGUCGUAUAUAAAUAAAUAAAACUAGACCAUUGUAGUAAAAAAAACAAAAACCAUAACAUAUAAAGAACAAAAAUCAUAACAAUUCUGCAAAGAAGAAACAAAACCAUAGCUAAAGUAAUAAUAAAAACUCAACUUUAAAGAAAUAAAAACUCCAAGAUGACGAACUAUCUUUAGAACUCCGAUCAUGUUACUUCAGCCACUUGGUUUACGGAGAUUUCUUUUAAUCCAUCCACAACGAUCUGUUAUGGACAUAUUCACGAAACCAGAUUUCAUGCCUAAGGUGUGAACAAGGGUCAUCGCCUCAUAACGCAAAUCAUCAUCCAAGUCAGGAAUUUCCUUGAUAGCAUCCCAAACAUUGUUAGCUUUGUCUUCAGCUUCUUUUUCUUCAGCUUCCUUCACCCAUCUUUUCUGAAUCAUGUCAAAAAUUUGGCUACUGAUUUCUGUAACUUCCUCACAAACCCUUUCCGAGUUAUAUGCAUCCGUCCUAGCUUUCUUUCUAUGUGAAAGCUUUUCUCCAAUGCUUUUUCUUGAUGAAGGUUCACAUGUUUGCUGGUGUUCUAUUCCUCCUCCCUCAUCUAUCACGUGGACAAAAUCAUUAUCAUUUGUCUUCUCGUUCUCUUCAAAUUGAUAGGAUCCUGCAUCAACAGAAUCACCUAGUCCCACAGCAUUCUGCCCCGUUGCAGUAUUCUGUUCAAAUAUAGUCCUUAGCUCUUCAAAAUCUUCAAACGAAUCAUCACGCAGAUAUUUAUUAUUUGGAUGAGCCUAUUAAAAAAAAGAUCACUAUAAUAAGAAUCAUAUGUAAACAACACCAACAUAAGCAUGAAUUUCAUAUUAUAAUUUUUUACCUGCAGAUAGACCUUCCAUACUUCAUCAUCUGCUGUGAAUUUUUUCGUUUCAGAGUCCCACCCAAAACCAGAACUACAACGAAGAAAAUCUGCAAACACUUGGUACCUACCCUUCAAGAUUUUCAUCCUAUUUUUAUACUGACCGUAGGUUUUUUUAGAUCCAACUUCUUGUUGUAGAGUUGUUAGUAUUCUGGAUUCGACCGUCAGUUUGUUGAAUUUGCCGCUGGCAUCACGAAAACCUUGAUUGAUUGCAUCCACUAGUAACCUCAAUAACAACUUGUGCUCAGGUCCAGACCAUGAGUGGUAUUGACCUUUACCUUUUACGUCUUUUGGAUCUCCCAUUGUUUGGAAGGUAACUAGUCAUAUAACAACACAAGAUUAUAAGAACCAAGAUAAUAAAUCUAUAGUCUUUGUAAAACCAUAUCUAAAAUAGUGAAUUAACAGGUUUUAUAUUGAUCGUCAAAAGACUCAAACCCAUAAAAGGAACAAUAUUCAAAGACAAACAUCAUCCAAAUUCAUGAAACUAAACAAAAUAAUGAAACCAAUCUGAAACUACACAUUCCAGUAAGCCAAAGUGAUGAAAAAGAAUACUCACUUUGACAAAUAAAAGAGAUGAUUGAUGCUCGUAUCCUAUCAGUUUUGUAAGCUCUUCUCCAUGUUACUGAUUUUAUAUAUAUGUGCAUACCUACCUAAACCCUAAUUAAACAACUAAACGAAAAAAACCCAUCUUAUUAUUCAAUUUUCUAAGGAGCAGCCCAUAAAGAUAUCAACAAGAAGCAUAUUUAUCCACAACAAAAAUUAGAAAAUCAGCAUUGCGUGCCUUGGCUUGCAUACUUGUCAAGCAGUACCUUAGCUUGCAUACUUGGAAGGACAGAACCAAAGCUCUAAUCUACUACCUUAGCUUUCAUACUUGGCAAGCAGUCUCGUAGAAGAAUACUUCCUCAAGCUUUUGAGUUUGGAGAGUUGAAGCAAAGAUUAUUUGGGUGAACCAAAGCUGUAGAAAAAAUAGAGAAGCAAAGAGAGUCACGAUCAAAAACCUAACAUAGUUUUCAAGCUCACAAACAUUAGUUGACCAUAGAGUAGAACAUGAAAAGAACAAAUAAACUUUACUAGACUUGCUUAUACUCUUCAGGAUCAAAAGGUUUGUUGUCAAAAUAUUCUCUGUCUUUUGUGUAUAACAUGGGAUUUUAAAAACAGAACCAAAACAGAGAAGAUUUUGACAACAUACCUUUUGAUAGAACACCAAAGGAACAAAUCAAUCGACGUGUGCCUUAGCUCAACCUCAGAUUCUUCAGAGCACAAAAACUUUUUCUCGGAUCCAACGAAAAGCUCGAGACGAAAUCAAAUCUAACAAUCAAAGGGCUCCCUUCAGGUUUGAGAGACUCCAAAAUCGAAUCUUUGGCUUCCAAAAUUGUCCACUUGGGUAUUGAUUCAUGAACAAGAGGGAAUCGAAAGUUCAGUACUUUUCUGGAAAGCUUCGUCUCUGAUCUCUCGCUUCCUUGUUCUCUCUCUGUUCUCAUAGGUGUGGUCAAUUUUUUAUUUGAUUUUGGGUAUUUCCAAAUAACAGGUACAAUGGUGGGAUUUGUGUAACGAUAGUUUUGACUGAAAAUAACAAAAAAAAUAGUUUCAAAUCCAUUUCAUAAAGUUUUUCUUUUAAAAUUGUUUAUCAUUGAAUAACAGUAGAUUUGAUUUACUUUUGGUAAAUUGUUAAUUGAAUAACAGUGGAUUACAAGUGAUUUAAGCUACUUUAGAUAAAUGUCAUAUUCAAUAACACAGGAUUUGAAGAAAAAAAUAUAAAUCAUUAGUUGAAUAACAGGAAAUUUUAAAGAAAUACCAAAACACUUUAAAAUACUCAAUUCAAUACACUCCCCUUAGUGAUAGUUAUCGCAAUAUGAUUUUUAAAAAAAAACUAGUGUCAUACACUGAGUUUUGUGUAUAAUGGUUAAUCUACUUUAUUAAAAUAGAAGUACUAAUAAAAAAAUACCAUAAGACUUACAACUUAAUUACAAUACAAUGCCAUUGAAGUAAUUAAUAAAUUUAAAUCUAAAUUAAUUUUUUUCCCUAAAUCUAUUCCACAACAAAUUCAUGAUAAAUAUUACAGUUAAUGCACAUUAAUACUAUAAACCUUAAUAUGUAAAGUAGAAAACUUCUUUCCAUAAAUUCGUGGGUAUUAUCAUCUAUUAAUAACUUUUAUUAUAUUUUUCAAAAUUUUAUUGUUAAUGAAAUCAAUUAACAAUAUUUAAAAAAUUUAAAGGAUAUGCCGUAUUGGGAAUAAAAACUUAAUAAUGAGAACAUAUUUAAAAAGAUCUAUUUUAGUUGAUAAUUCUAAAUUUAUACCUAAUUAAAAUUUUCAAAUAACCAAUUUGACUAAUCUAUUUAAUUGACGAUAUUGUUUUAGAUAUAUAUAACUAAAAUGCUAUUAGAAAAUUAUUUUAAAAUUAUGUAUGAUAUUACAUAUGUUCAAUUGAAUUUUACCUUAAAUUAGUUUUCUUUAGUAAGGAUUUGAAUUAUUAGAUUUGGUAAUAACAUGUACAUUUAAGUAUUAGUAUAAAAAAAAUUAAAAACACCUAAGAUUUUUCUUAUGAGAAAAUUGUAAUAGGUAAAGUUUCAAAAGAAUAUUCUUCAAGUUUUCUAUGUAAAGAAAAACAUUUAAACAAGAUAACAAUGUUCUAAAAAAAAAGUUCAUAUAAAAUAAAAAUCCUACAUAUAAUAAAAUGUUAAAGUCAAUAAGUUACAAUAAAAUUAAUUUGAUAAUAAUAUAAAUACAAGAAAUGUAAUUACUCAUUCUACCAAAUUACUCAUUUUAAUAAGUAUAAUAUAAAUAUUUUACUAAAAAUGCAUGACGAAUAUUUAUAUAUCAGGUUGAGAAAUUAAAAAUUAAGACUACUUAUAUAACGGGUUGAAAAUUUAAAUAUAGUUAUCAUUUAUGACCAAAAACCUAUCAAAACAUCUCAAAUAUUAUUUUCGCAUAUGUAUUUUAGUUUUUUUUUUAAAAAUCCAGGUAAUCCGGACACCCCGGAGGGAACCCGACUAGCGCCUAAGUACACCUCCGUAGAAGGCAUCCUGGAGGGCCGCCUUUUUCACCCCAUUUUAAUCGACGGUGGCCAGCGGGAUUCGAACCCGAGUCCGUAUUGGGGCCAAAGCUCCCUCAAGACCACUGGACCGUCCUCGCUUGGUUUAUAUAUUUUAGUUUAUGGAAAACACAUACAUAAACUAAAAAUAAACUAAAAUAUAUAUUUUAAGUAUUAUGCAUAAUGUCAUAAUAAAAAAAUACAUAAUAUGUGAAAAAAUAAAUAUGUAUUAUAUUAUUUAUAGAAAACAAAAAUAUAUUUCUAAAAAAUGAAAAAGUGGUUUCUCUUUUUUACUCGGAACUCAAAUGUUGUAAAUAAUUCUUUCUAACCGCGUAUCAAACCCGACCAAUGAAAGGCUACCAGCAUUUCCUUUACCACUAGCCAACUCGGUAUCAAGUAAAUAAAAAUGAUAUCAGUUAAAUAAAAAUAAAUAUUCGCGUGAUAUUUACAUUUAAAGUUAUAUAAAUCAUUUUACUUUUGCUAUUACUGUAAUUAUGUAACAACAAUAUAUCUAUUAUGUGAUGUAUUUUUGUCACCAUUUUAUUAUCAUUUCUAUAGAUUAUAUAAUGGUGUACAAAUAUCUAGUUACAUUACGUAAACAAAAAAACACCCGUCCGGUCGGGCGGAUCCAGCUCUAGUUGUAUCUUUAAAAAAGAUGAUAAAAAUCAUUAGACAAUUGAUCUCGACUAAUCUUAAGCGAUUACGUUCACUUUGAUGACAACGUAGGAUCCUUUUACUAAAGGUGUGUCAUGAGAUCAAAUUGUUAUAUCAUCAAAAGGAAUGGGUAGCCUGUGAAUUAAAAUGAGGUUUGACAGUAACUCUACCUAACUGACUGGAGAUCCCAAGAAAUAGGUUAAAUGAGACUACUAAGUCAAACUAAAUCUACACAAAGUAUUGUAAGACUUCGGUCUAUACUCAGUUACUAUGAUGAUUAAACAGUGGUACAUGUAAGGAAUAGAGGAUAAACAUUUGCUUUUAAUGAUUUGUGUCUAUUAUUUUGAAAUAUGAAUGGAGUAGUACAUGAUACUCCUCUAAACAAAACUAAUGACAAAUCACCUUGUGAGUGUGAAAUGGGGCCGUUUCUAGGAGAAUGAAAAAAAUGUUAUAUUCUCCAAGUUCACUCAUGAUUAAUCAGGACUGUUCACGACCAAAAUGAACACAACAGAAAACCUAAUUCUGUGAGAGAAUAAAGUUGUGUUAUAACUAUUGUCUAGGUUUACACCAAAGCAUGGGAGGUUCAAGACAUCAUGGCCACCUCAUGGCCAAGUAAAUCCGAUAGCUAUUAACAAUGACUGGUUCAAGUCUGAAAAAUUGCUACCAACUCAUCAUCCAAUGGAUUUUUCGUUUGUACUCUCAAAAGUCUUUAGUUGAGUCUAGGCCUUGGCGUUUGGUGGUCCGUUCGGUUUCGGUCCGGGUGAUUCGGAUUUUUGGAUUUUCGGUGUUAUGCUCAUAAGUACCAUUCGGUUUUUACUAAUUAUCGGAUCGGGUUCGGUUCGGUUCCUUCCGGGUUCGGUUCGGAUCAGAUUUAACCAAUGUUUAAAAUCGUACAAAAAUAUAUUUUUAAAAACCUUGAAAAUUGACCAAAAAAUUUUCAAAAUAUAUAAAUUAUUUACAAAUCUAAUUAAAAAUUAGUUAAACUAUCAAAAUUAACUAAAAAGUAUUCAAAAUAACAAAUAAAAUAAACUACAAAAGUAUUUUGAAUACUCUAAAAUAUCUAAAUCACCUUAAUAUAUAUAAAAACAUUAACAUAUUUAACUAAUUUCAGAUAUCUUCGGAUCCUAAUUUGGAUUUCGGUUUGGUUCGGGUUAUAACCAAAGUCCAAAGUAGUAAGCUCAUAAGUCCCAUUCGGAUAUUUUUGUAAAAAAGUUCGGAUUCAGUUUCGGUUUUUUCGGUUCGGGUUAAGGUCGAUACUUCGGGUUGAGUUAAAAACGCCCAGGCCUAGUUGAGUCUUGUCGUGUCUUGUGUAGGAAGUCAAGUUUGUCGAGUUGUCUAGUGUCUAGAGUCAUUUCUAUUUAUGUGGGGAUUGUUGGAACUAUUUUUUGAACAUUAUGAAUAGUAUAUUCAUAUGUCAAAAAUGAAGUUUUAUUUGAAAGAGAAAUGGAGGUAUGUGUGUGAUUUGAGAAAUUAAUAUAAAGUAGCAAAUACACACAUUGGAUAUUUGAACUUGGUUUUGUGUUUUUUUGAUUUGUUAGUUGGACUUCAUGUUCAUUAACUUAGUCUUAUAAACCAAAUAUAUGUUGAUCUUUUAUAUUGAUAAAGUAUAAAAAAAAAUCAUUUCAAAGUAUAUUAUUUAGUUUGAACUUGUCAAACAAUAAUAAUUUUACUCUUUAAUUUCUUCGUCAAAAUAUGGAAUAAAUUCACAAUAAUUGACAAGAAUUAAAGAUUCAAUUAGUGCACCAUGGAUGUUUCAUUUUUGUGUUAAAAAAUGAAACUUGUGCUUCUCAUUAUUUUCUAUAAAAGGGUUUGCUAGCAUUAUAAAAAUACACACAUCAACACCAAAAGAAAAGUUACAUUCUGCUACUUUAAAUAGUCAUGUUCGUAGUUUUUUUUGUCUGAGAGUACAAUACAAAGUUAGGUUCGAUAGAUUCUGUUUUUUGGUGAUGGUAAACAGAAAUAUAUGCAGUUGUAUCCUGGAAAUCUGAACGCUAUGAAACCGUCACUCUACGGAGUGUUUAAAAAUUUAAUGAAAGAAAUUAAUCUUCUCGAUUCUGCAAUUCUUCUUUAUUCAUUUAUUUCGGUAUUGUAAUUUUAAUUUUUGUUCUUAUUAUAUUUGUAUCCAUUGUAGUAAAAUAAGAUUCCUACAGACCUACCAAACCAUCCUUUCUUAAUUGGUGCUCAAUUCCACCCGUAAUACAAAUCCAGACCCGGGAAAGCUUCUCCUCUGUUCAUAGGUCCGAACCCAUUUCAAAGCUAGUAAAAAAGAUCCAAAACUUUUACAGCUCUCUAUUCUCUUGAAUCAGCACAAGUAUUCUAAUGAAAUGUUUCUGCACAUUCUUUAUUUGCAGGUCGCAUUGCAGCAUCGUGUCGUGAGCUAGACACAGUCAUGAAUCCAGCCUCUUUUCAUUAACAUCUCAUUAGUACCGACCCCAAGAAUCUUUCGUCAAUGGAACCUGACUCCAAGAAAUGUCCUAAUGGCUUGGCUGUGUAAGGUACAGCAAUGAAUACUGCAACGGCCUCUACACUAGAUGGCUGCAGACUCCUUUUUUUUUUAAAUCUCCAUUAGAAUUGCUUCAUUUUCAAUUUUAGUUUGGAUUUUGAGUUGUUUUUUUUUUCCUUUUCUAUAAGCAUAGGAUCUUUCAUCUGUACAUAUGAUUCAAGCUUUUGUCAGGUUUCUAGACUCAUUUAACAGAAUCUAUGUUCUGGAAAGACUAUAGAAACGUUUGAAAAUCGAGGUUGAUACCCCUAAUUUGUUUUUAUUCCAAUCAGAAGGGAUGUCGCAUAUUCGUACCAUUGGAAUAUUUUGUUUCUCAAUUUGGUCUGAGUGUGAGAUAAGCAUCUCUUAUAUAUUAAAUAAAAAGUAUUACAACGAGGUAGUAAAGUCUGUUAGAGAAAAUAUGUUUAUCCAUCUAAAUAUCUAUUAUAUAUUAAAAGGAAGUAUUACAACAUUUGAGUUAGUCAUCAUCACCACAAUUAUUCUUAAAAUUUUUAGAGAAAUAUAUUUGGCCAUCUAAAUAUAUAAUAAGUUUUUUAUUAAAUUUAUCAUAAAUUAAUUAUUAAUAUUAUUCAUUCUUUCCUUAAAUAAAAUUAUGGAAUUGUCUAAUAUGGCUAAAGUAUAUAUACAAUUAAUAAUUUUGAAUAAUAAAGAUUUGAUAAAAAAAAUUAGUGUAUCCUCUAUCAUUUUCUUAAAACUUUUUAUCUUAAAUUAAGCAACCACAUUAGCCAUAUAAUAAUAACUAGGUUAAGACCCAUGCAUUAUUAUUAAUUUUGUGUUUUAUACAUAUUAUAAAAUAAUAAAUAAAUAAAUAAAUAUAUAUAUAUAUAUAUAUAGAAUAAUUGAGAAAUCAGUAACUAUUAUGUAUAUAAUUAAAUUAACUCGAACACAUAAAUAAAAAACUCACACUUAUUUAUUUACAAUCACUUUAUAUAAGUAAAUCUAAAAAAUAAAUGAUAUUAACAUAGAUAUAUAUAUAUAUAUAUAGUAUAUUUUUUUUGGCUAUCUACUAAACGAAGCUUUAUAUUUAUAUAGUUUUAUGAUCAUUUGCUUAUUUUUAUAAAAAAAAUUUAAACUAUUGAUAACCAUUAUAUUUAUAGUAUUUAUAUAGUUUUAAACGAAGCUUCGUAUUUAUAUAGUUUUAUACGAAGCUUCGUAUUUUUAUUUUUAUUGUUAUAGUAAUUCAUAAUCGUUUUAAAAAUAUCAUUUCAAAGUUUGAAAUUAAAGUAUUAAAUUCUCAAUAUUUUUUCAAUGCAAAUUUUAAAAUUAAAAUAUUUAUGUAUUUUUAGAUGGUAUAUAGUUUGAAUAUCUAUUAAAUGACACUUCUUACUCAUUAAUUUUAUAAUCAUUUGUAUUUUGUUAUAACAAAAAAUUUAAACUAUUCUAAACAAAUAUUGUAUGUGGAAUUUUAAAAGUUUUAUUAAUUUAUAAUCGUUUUAAAAAACUCAAAAUAUAACAUAUACGAAAAAAUCUAAUUUUUUAUUAUAUAGUUAAUGUGAUUGUUUAAUUUAUUUUCACAAUAUAAAUUUGACAAAAAUAAUAAAGGUAACACAAAUUUUAUCAAAUCUUUCAUAUAAAAAUACUCAAAAUUUUGAAAAUAAUUAUACAUUUUUAAAUUAUUUAUAUUUUCUUAAAGAUGAAUGGCUAUUUUUAUUUUUCAGGAUUAAUACAAUAUAUUGUAUGAAUAAAUUAUACAUAUUAUUUUUUCUGAUUUUUAGUUAUUUUUAAUGUGACUAAUAAUUAUUAAAAAUAUUCAAUUAUUUUAUUUAUAGAAAUUAAUAACUAAUUUUAAAAAUUAAUUAAUAUUAUUUAUAAAAUAUAUAAAUUUAUUUUAGAGAUAUGAAACAAAAAUAAAUUAUUUCACAUUACUAUUCAAAUUAUAUCUAAAGUACAAAAAUUGUAUGAUAAUUUCAUCUUUAUGAAAAUAUUAUUUAUUAAUUAUUAAUUAAUUAAAAUGUAGUAGUUUCUUAAAAAAAAAUCAAAAUUCGUUUUUUUCAUAAAAGCUAACAAAAGUUGGUUUUUAGUUUUUCUUCAUAAAUUGGUUAAACUUUUGAAAAACUAGUUUCCCUAAAUUUUAGGGAAUCUAUUUGCUGAAAAGCUUGAUUGGCAAAUAAAAUGGUUUUUACAAAAACAAAAACUAAAAGCAAAAACUUGAUUGGAGGAAAAAUGGUUUUUGAGAAAACAAAAACCAAAAACUAGUCUAAAAACUGAAAACAAUCAAUCUCUAGGUAAUUUCAUAGCUUUUAUAUAAGAAAAUAGUGAAUAACAUUAAUAGUAAUUUUAUGGUUACUUUGAUAAAAAGUAUAUUAUAUGUUUAUAUGAACCAACAUUUUUCUCUAAAAACUUUGAGAAGCAUUCUAGUGAUGACAUGUGUCAUAGCUAAAAUGUUGUAAUGCUUCUCUUUUAAUAUAUAGGGGAUUUAGAUUUUUCCGUAUAUGUUAUAUUUUAAUAUUUUUUAAAUGACUAUAAAUCACUAAAACUGUUAUAAGUUUCACAUUGAAUUUUUUGUGAUCCAUGGUUUAAUUAAAAAAUUGUAGAAAAUUUUGAAAGCUUUAGUAAUACAAAUUGUAUAAUUAUGCAAAAAUAAUAAUAUUUCGAAAUUUGAAAUGUUAUAUAUGAAUAUAUUUAUUUUAUAGAUGAUGUAUGAGCUAUUACCAUAUUUAAAAAAAAGUUUACCAAAAAGAAA
This 48423-nucleotide long non-coding RNA is filed under the name Brassica napus (rape). RNAcentral describes it as "long non-coding RNA (BNAP_LNC021387)". The record is from RNAcentral. Lineage: Eukaryota; Viridiplantae; Streptophyta; Magnoliopsida; Brassicales; Brassicaceae.